Molecule: long non-coding RNA, 88644 nt
Filed under: Capsicum annuum
Lineage: Eukaryota; Viridiplantae; Streptophyta; Magnoliopsida; Solanales; Solanaceae
Description: long non-coding RNA (CANN_LNC009893)
Source: RNAcentral
AUUAUAUAACUAGUAUCUGUAUGCUAUAGUCAACACUGAAACUGAAUUACUUAGUUGAUUACUAGACUGAGACUGUGGGAGCUAUCAUCUAACUGAUAUUUCCUAAUGAGGAAUUUGGGGCCCAACCUGUGACCCCAGUUGAAGGAUGUCAGUACCGUACCACGGGUACUAACACUGGAUAUAUGGAUCCAAUGAAAAAGCUAUCCCAAAGGACUAAAGGUGUUAAGCCUAAACUGACGGGUGACCCCUGGAAGGUAGUCAAGCCUGAACUAACGUGUGACUUCUCAAAUCCUACUCUAGCUACGCAGUACUAUAGUACAGGGAAUGGUACUAACGAAUCUGCCUAACUGAUAGGGAAGUCACAUCACAACACUCGCUCAAUGCUAAAUCCUACUACCAACUGAACUACCUCAGAAUACUGAACUAUUCUAAGUUUAACUGAUCAUGAUAACUGACUAAACUGAUAUUGCUCAUAACAUGUCUAAAACUAAUUUGGAGAUACUGAGGAUAAGUAAGCAAUUAAUUUUAUGGGAAUUCAUAACCCCUAGGACUCGAUAGUAAUUAUAGAAAAAUAGUACUAAAAUUUUGGGGACAUAAUAUGAAAGCAUUUAUUCAAAAUUCAUUCUUGUAGGCAUUUUAUCAAACACUUGAUAUGUAUAGUGUAAGCUAAACGUGGGAAUCAUUUAAAGCUUGUAGUAAUAACAUGAUUUAAACAUCAACAUCACUAAUUAUGGGUUAAAUCAGCAAAUAACAUCAUUUAUAUGUGUGGGGGUAGAUAACAACAAUAAUUUCAUGUAAACAUGGUAUAAAGUUUCAAUUCAUGGGAAUUCAUGGUUAAAAUCACAACUAAAAAUCAAUUGUGAAAAUCACAAUUACUUGUAAAGAUCACAACUUUGAAUUUAAAAUUUGAUAUGUGGACUCCAUGGGUGAAAGGGACCCAUGGAUGAACAUUUAACAUACCUUGAUUUAUGAAUUUAUGAGAAUUGAUGGCGAAUUCUUGAGAUUUGAUCUUGAAUCUUAAAGGGCUAGGGAUUUUUCUUGAAAGAGGGCUACUUUAAUUUGAGAGGAUUGUGGAAUAAUGAUAAAAUAAUGCUCUCUUGGGAGUUACAUUCCACGUUUUGAUUGAAUGGGGUGAAGAUAAAAGGACUUAAAUGCCCUUGGAAAUUAAAACUCAAAACAGGAACUAAAAAUCUCAAUUUUGACAUUCAGCGCGAUGGGGUGCAAUCAUGUUGUGCCAUUGGAAAACUGACAAUCCCUAUUUUACCCUACGACGUGAUGGAGUACUAUCGUGUUGCGCCACUGGAAUGGACAAUCCCGAUUUGGAACCUUGGUGCGUGCAGUGGCAAUCGUGGUACCUCACUGGAAAGUGGGGAACGCAAAAAUACCCCUUGGUGUGAUGCAGUGCUUACCGUUGCGGUCCACUAGAAAAGGCCAAACGUGAUUUUUGUCAUCACCGCGAUGUGGCCUUAUCGCAUUGGGCUACUAUUUUUCACUAAAAGUUCCAUAACUUCUCACUCGAGUAUCAGAUUUAGGUAAAAUUGGUAUAGUUGGAAAGCUAAUUAAAUUUCAUACAAUUAGUUGAGUUUUGAGCUGGAAAAUUCUCAAUAGAAUAAAAGAUAAGCUUGUUUUAUAUUUACUAAAGCAACAUUCUUCUCAAAAACUCAAUCGGUAAGGAAUAUUUUGGUUCGUCUAAUAGCUGGGAGUUAUUUGAGUCCUUAAUAUACAUCCAACUCACUCAUAAAACUACCAAAGAACUAUAAUGUACUUUGCAUGAGCUUGAAAUAUGGCUCUAACAUAGGUUUGGAUUUUUGGGCUAUUACAACAAAGUACUAAACGCACCAUCACAUUAUAAAUAUCUAUAUAUGAUCACUAUUAUAGAAGUGGAUGAGCAUGGGGUGGAGGAGGGUAAACCUAAUAUUGACUAUUUAUACUCUCUCUCAUAGACUUGGCUAAAUUGAUAAAUAAGCCUAUACUUUAAAAACAUGAAAGAAAUCCUGAAAAAGUGAGUGUAAGAAAAAAUGCAAUCCUUAAGAUUAAGAACUCAAAAGGCUAGAAAAUAAGGAGAAGGUGGGAUCUAACAAGGAGUAAAAUGAUAAUAAAAUAUGGAUAAUAAUUGUAAUUUGAGUCAUUCAGCGACAAUAAAUCAAGCGCCUCUAGUGAGCUAACCCAAGUUAAGGUAUGUAAUAACCCUUUUGGUUAUUUUUUAUAUUUCUGCUUCUCUUCAACAUUAGGGAUUCUCCAUAGAUUCCCCAAGUCAUUUAUGACUUACUGGGACUAACAGUUUGAUUAUUGGGCAAUUCAUUGGGUAUUUAGAGCCAAUUCCUUGUUUAGAAGUCUUCACUGGUUCCAAAUAGCCACCGGGAAAUUUUUUUAGUAAAAUGAUCAUUCCAACUAUGCCAGAAUCUUUGGAAUUUGAUUUUAGGAUAGGUGUACCUUUGGUUUGGGUCCCAAUGCACCCAAGAUCAUUUCAACCUAUUAGUCUAAAAGUUGGAAAAUUGGAAAUAUGGGUGUGGAACCCAUAUUUGGUCAAAAUUACCUCAGAUAAAUUUAAAUUUUUUGUUGUAUCUAAAUAUAGAAUUUAGUGUUCUAACAUAUUUCAUUUGUGAAAAUUAGAUUCUGAAUGAAUCCUAGUUCAUUGUUGGAAACUUGGAAAAUUUUUAAAGUUUGUUGGUGUUGGUGCAUUCCGAUCACACAAGGGCCACUGUAAUCGCUCUAUGGUGAUCUCACAAGGGAUAUGGAAAUCUCCCUAUUGUGAUAAAAAAACCCUAGAUGGAAAUAGCAACAUCUCCAUACCUGGUAUGGAUAUAUAAUGACUCUGUAGGCCGCAUUUACGUCAAUUUUCUUCAUCUUUAAGACCUAAAAACCCUAAAAGAGUGUGGUAACUCAAAAAUAAGUCUUAUGUAUGACUUGGGAUCUUUCUAAACAUCUAUUAUAAUUAUUAUAAUAUGAAUUAAAAUAAUAUUUCAUCACUUUCUUAGUGAUUUUCUUGGUUCUUGACCCAAAACCAUGACUAGCUUGAGGUCUUGAUUAUAGCCCCAAAUGAACUUUAUUUUUAACCCAUUCUUAAGGGUUACGAUUUCUUGAUGAUGUAUGAAUACUGGGUUGACUUUGAAAAUGUAUUUUCCAUAAGUGGGACUCACUUGGGGUUUUCGAUGUUGUUUUGGGACCUAAAGCUCAAUGGUGGAACAUGGGUAUCAUUAUUCUCGUAUUUAUGAGUAGAUUAUAAUUUUGAUAGUGUGAUGACAUUUUGAUAUUGUGAAGUAAAGAUGGAUCUUUGGUGAAUUAUGUAAGAACUUAUGGUUUGGAAUUAAGGUAGGCUUCUGUCUAUUCUUCUUUGUAAGAUGAUGUGUGAUAUAUAUUGAUUGUGAAUAUGAAUGUUAAGAUUGAUUAUGUGUGGAAUGCCUCAUACUUAAUUAUUGAAGUUGGGAAAUUAGAUGAGAUUCUUGGACCUGUAAGGUGAAUUCCUUAUUACACUUUUAGAAUCCUAUUUCCUUCUCCCUAGAUUAAACUAGUUCAUAGAAUGGGUAUGACAUGGUGCUAGGUUUAGGAUGUGUUUUAAGUGUUAGAAUCAUGGUUAGUAUGAUUAACCUUAUUUAGGCUAGUCUAUUGAUAUUGAAACCAUAAUUUGGAGUCAAGUUAACUUAAAUGCCCAUGUUUUUAGAAGAAGUUCCUAUCUUAGGAUUGUUAUUGAGUACUUGACAUCUAGAAGUUGAACUAGAUACCUUAGCCAAGUUUGGGCCGUAGAUUGCUUAAAUAUGGAAAUGAAGGAUUAGAAAUGGGAUCAUCCGACCCAGUUAGGUUAAAACUUUUGUUAGACCUUGUGGACUAAGUUGUGGAUGCUAGUCAUAGUUGAGACUAUUGAACCCUUAGAAUAAGUUUACUUCAUGACUUGGUAAAUUGUGAUGACUUACCUCGGACUAUGACUAAUGGCUUAUGGCCAUGAUAUUGGGUCUUUAGAGAUGCUAUUUCCUCUUAGACAUGAUAUUGGUCAUUUAGAGAUGCUAUUUUCUCUUAGACAUGAUAUUGGGCUUUAAGAGAUGCUAUUUCCUCUUAGAUAUGAUAUUUGGAAUUUAGUAAUUCUAUUUCCUUAUAGAGAUGAUAUUGGCCUUUAGAGUUGCUAUUUUCUCUUAGAUGUAAUAUUGGGCCUUUAGUGAUGCUAUUUCCUUAUAGAGAUGGUGUUGGGCCUUUAGAGCUGCUAUUUUCUCUUCAAUAUGAUUUUGGGCCUUUAGAGAUGUGCUUUUCUCUUAGAUAAGGUAUUAGGCCUUUUGAGGUGUUAUUUGUUCUAGUUAUGUGUAAUACCCUAAAGUUUCCUAACUAAUUUUGUCUCAAAAAUGUCAAGUAUUAGCUUCUAAAUUGAAUGAUGUUUAUUCCAUGGGGAAUUUUCAAGAAUCACUUUUUGUCAUGUGGAAAAUUCAAUAAGCUUUCCAUCGAUAUAAAAUUCACCUAAAUCUGAAACCGGGUAAGAAGUUAUGACUAUUUCAAGUCCACAUCAUAAAACAACACCAUAUUGGUCAGUGGCGCGCCGCGCCACAAGAUAAAAUGGCAAUUGUCCUUUUUUUCGUGUCCCAGCACAAUUUCUCCAUGUUGUACCAAACUUUUAGUUCACAAAUGAAUUGGCAAUGCGAUGGCUCCGUGUCACACCAUUUCCCUAUUUCCCAAUUGUCAAAUUCCAGUGGCACAGCGAGAUAGCACCGCAUCGCGCUAGGGGUCCAGGUCAGAAAAUUUUCACCAACUUAAAAGAUGCAUCCAGGGUUAAAAGGAUCAAUUUUUCACUCCUAUUUAAGCCCUUUAACAUGGGAUUCAGCUAUUUGGAACCUAAAAUAUAGUAGUUUCUCUCAAUUUUCUCUUGAGAACAAGCGAGGGUUUCGAUUGGGGAUUCAAUUUCAGAAAGUCUCUCUGUCAAUCUUUGCUAAAUCAAGAACUAAGGUAUGUCAUAUGUUGAUUCAUGGGUUUCUUUCACCUAUGAAGCUCAAUAAUCUCUUUUCAAAAUGAAAGAUUUGUAUAUUUACGAAUGUUCAUGAUUUGAUUAUAUUAAAAAGUGAUGUUCAUGUUGUUUUUUGUUUCAUUCCAUGUUAUAGACUAUUAAUUACAAAAAUUAAUUCUAGUAUGUGAGGAAUUAUGCGGUAUUCAUGAUAAAUCCUAGAAUUCACAAGUUGAUUGAUGUAUCCUUGAUUAUUAGAUGUGUUGAUGAUUGUAUAACCAUAGUAUGCUCCCCACCCCCACAUGUCUUAGCCAAUGGAUUAUGUAUUGUUGAUGUUGGUCCUGUACUCAAGAAAGUCAUGCUUUGUCAGUUUCCUUCUAUCGAGUCCUGGGGGUACUUGUACCUAAAAAAUAUAGUUGUGUGCCUAGAGUCCGUGUCAUGUUUUCAUGAUAUCCUCAGUCAAGCCAUGAUCCAUAGAAUUCAGUUAGUUAUGUGACUCAGGAAAGCUCAGUAAUACAGUAAUCUCAGUACUAUUCCGUCAGUCAACAGAACUCAGUUAAAUCAGUUUAGUUCAGUUUAGUAAUUCAUGAUCAGUGUCUAUUGAAAUAGGAGUAGGAAUUAACACCGAGUGAGCCCAAUGAUGGGAACACACAUUGUCAAAUAAGAGUGUGAUUCUUAGAAGUCAUCCUUGCAUUUCAGAACUAUGUAGCCAGCAUAGGUUGAGACAUCAACACUAUCAGAUGAGGGUUUAUAAGGUGGAUAAGCACUGUCAGAUGAGAUCCCUACCGUUCUCUUUUGGGGACACUGUCAGAUGAGGGUCACUCACAGCUUGUCCUUACCAGUGGUGCGGUAUUAACACCCUUCCAAUUGGGGUUACAGAUUGGACCCCAACUCAGCCAUAAUGGCGUAUUAGGGGCAUAUUAGUUAGAUAACUACUUUCCAUAGUUUCAGCUAGAGAAUCAGGACUGUUAAAUACAGUCAUUUAGUCUCAGUAAUAGAACUCAGAUAGUUCUAUCGAAUUCAGGACUGUUAGAUAUAGUCAACUCAGAACAAUAUAGAACUCAACUAGUUCCAUUAGAUUCAGGACUGUCAGAUACAGUCACUUAUGUCAUCAGUUAUAUCAGUCAGUUAUCAGUUAUGUUAGUUAUCAGUAAAUUCAUGUUAUCACUAUCUCAGAUAUAGUUACAAUGUAUUCAUACAUGUAUUCUCACGUUCGUAUUAGUCAGUUAGACACUAUUGUUCAUGCAUAUGAACCCCAUGUAUUCAGCCUACCUUCCAUUUUUACCAGUACAUACAAAGUAUUGACACAUUUGUGCUAUGGUGUUUUAUACCAUAGGUUCAGAAGCAUGAUCACCAGAGCAUCAGUAGUAUUCUAGUUUCAGCAGUCAGAGUUAGUAGUAAGUCCUAGUCCUUCGAGGACAUAACCAUUUCAUUAAUAUCUCAUUAAAUUAAUUUAUUUCACUAGUUAGGGUUAGUUGGGGACAUGUCCCAUCAACUCUUUAUUCAGAUAGUUAGUCAAUUAGAGGUUUUUUAGAUUAUCACAUUCAGACGGUUAUUUUAGUAUUUUGGGUAUUUCAUACCCUAUCCAUAUGUUAGGAUUUAUUAGUUAUGUUAUAAUUUUGAACCCUAUGGCCUUUCAGUUUAUUUUUCCAUAUUUAUACAGUAUAUCAUGUAGUAUACAAGUACAGAUAUCAUUCAUGAGUUAGCUUGUGGUCCUUCUGGGUCAUGAGCACCGUGUAGCAUUCCGGGUACCAGGAUUUGGGGCAUUACAAACUUGGUAUCAGAUCCAGGUUCAAUAAUGUCCUAGGAAGUAUGAAAGUCGCAUCUAGUAGAGCCUUGUACAUGGGUGUAUUGUGUGCCACAUUUAUGUACAGGAGGCUAUAAGAUGUUUUAGGAACAAUUUUCCUUUCUUUCAGUAUUCAUUUCAUGCCAGUGAGCAUAAUCUCAAGUCAAUCUCUCAGUGUAAUUUGUUUCUUUUUUUUUUCUACAGAAUAUGCCUCCUAAAAGAAGAAAUGAAAAUCAAUCAGCCCCUUAGCCCGAAGAACCUUUGGGCGAACAUAUUUCUCAUGGAGAGUUUCAAGUUGUAUUCACUACUCUUGCUAAUUUAGUUGCUGCUUAGAAUAAAUGAUCAGCCAUCGUUUUGGUCAACCCAGUGACCAAUUCAGCUGCAGCCAAGAUUCAGGACUUCAUCCAAAUGAAUCCUCCAUCCUUUCUCAGGUUUAAGUUAAAAGAGGACCCUCAGAAAUUCAUCGAUCAGGUUCAGAAGGUUAUAGAAAUCAUGGGGGUUACUCCUGUCGAGAGUGUUGAGCUAGUUGCAUACCAGUUGCAGGAUAUUGCCCAUACUUGGUUUAAACAGUAGAAUUCAAAAAGGUCGGAUGAUUCAAGGCCUAUUGAGUGGGAGGAGUUUGUCACUGCAUUCUUAUAUAGAUUCGUUCCCCAAAAGAUGAGAGAGGCUAAGAUGUUAGAAAUCAUCAACCUCAGGCAGGGUAACAUAACUAUGCAAGAGUAUUCUCUUAAGUUUACUCAAUUAUCCAUAUAUGCUCCUCAUAUGGUUGCAGAUAGCAGGGCCAAGAGUAAGUUUUUUUUUGGGGUGAACAAUAGUGUGGUCAACAAGUGUAGGUCUGCAAUGUUGAAUAGUGACAUGACUUUAGCCAGGCUUAUGACUCAUGCUCAGCAGAUAGAAGAUCAAAAGGUUAAGAUGAGGGAGAAACAUAAUAAGAGAGUAAAGACAGGUAGUUUCAACUUUACUUAGUCCAAAUUAGAAGGAGCAAACCGCUCUCAGUUCCAUCCUAAGUCAUCAGUUCCAGCUCCUUCUUUAGCCAGUGCUCCAUCUCCUAAGUUCAGGGAUAAAAAUGGAGAUAGGGUGCCAGGAUCUAAGUCUUAGGGCAGUGUGAGCAGUGCUUGAACUAAUACUAUUUGUCAGACUUGUGGUAAGAAACAUAAGGGUGCUUGUAUUGCUGGUAGAUAUGUCUAUUUCGGAUGUGGAAAGCCAGGCCACAGAGUCAGAGAUUGUCCCAGUCAGGUUAUCAGGGUCAGCAAAACCAUUCCUAUGCUCAGUUCAGUCACCUAAAUCAGCAGGGUACCACUUCCAGUUCUACUAGUGGGCAACGCCCAAAUAGACUUUAUGAUCUCCAGUCCCGGCAAGAUCAGGAAAAUUAUCCUGAUGUGGUUACUGGUACGUUAUAGAUCUUUCAUGUGCAUAUUUAUUCUUUGCUAGAUCCAGGAGCUUUCUUGUCUUUUGUCACUCCCUAUAUAGUAGUUGAUUUCAUAAUCAGUCCCAAAUUCUAGCAGAGCUUUUUUCACUCUCUACCCCAGUGGGUAAAACCAUCAUAUCUCGGUGGGUAUACAGAAAUUGCCUGCUUAUGAUAUUAGAGAAUGUCACCUCAGCAGACUUAGUCAAAUUAUAGAUGACUAAUUUUGAUGUUAUUCUUGGCAUGGAUUGGCUUUAUUCCUGCUAUGCCACAGUCGACUAUAGAAAUAGAAGAGUCCAAUUUUAGUUUUCAAAUGAACCCAUCCUAGAGAGGAGGGGUAGUAUUUUAGCUUUCAGAGGUCAGAUUGUUUCCUACCUUUGGGCACAGAUAAUUAUUUCUAAAGGAUGUGUUUAUAUUCUUGUUCGAGUUAAGUAUGCUAGUUUUGAGACUCCUAGUCUUGAAUCAUUCCCAUUAGUGAAUGAAUAUUUAGAUGUCUUACCCGAAGAUCUUCCAGGAAUUCCUCCCAAAAGGGAAAUAGACUUCCGCAUUAAUCUUCUUCCAAAUACUCAGCCUAUAUCGAUUCCGCCAUACAAAAUGGCACCUAUAGAACUUGGAGAAUUAAAAGAACAUUUGAAGGAUCUCUUAGAUGACAGAUUCAUCAGUUCCAGUGUGUCCCCAUGGGGUGCACCAGUCUUAUUCGUGUGAAAGAAAGAUAGUUCUCUCAGAAUGUGUAUAGAUUACCAUCAACUCAAUAAAGUCAUGGUCAAGAACAAGUAUCCACUUCCAAGAAUCAAUGACUUGUUUGACCAACUUCAGGGUGUCAUUUAUUUCUCUAAGAUAGACCUCAGAUUCGGCUAUCAUCAUCUCAGAGUAAGAGAAUGUGACAUUCUAAAAACAGCCUUCCAUACACGGUAUGGUCACUUCCAAUUCCUAGUCAUGUCCUUUGGUCUUACCAAUGCCCCAGUAGCUUUCAUGGACUUGAUGAGCCGUUUGUUCAAGUAGUACUUGGAAAUGUUCGUCAUAGUCUUUAUAGAUGAUAUUCUAGUCUAUUCCUGCAGUGAGCCUGAUCAUACAGACCAUCUCAGAAUUGUACUUCAAACUCUCAAAAAUCAUCAGUUGUUUGCCAAAUUUAGUAAGUGCAAAUUUUGGCUAAGGUCAGUAGCAUUCCUUAGCCAUAUCAUUUCCAGUGAUGGCAUUAGAGUAGAUCACCAAAAGACCAAAGUGGUAAGAAACUAGCCCAGACCUGUAUCUCCAUCAGACAUACGAAAAUUCUUGGGUUUGGCUGGUUAUUAUAGAUGGUUUGUUGAAGUAUUUUCAUUUAUUUCAUCCCCUAUGUCAAAAUUGACUCAGAAGAAAGUCAAGUUGUAGUGGUUGAAUCCUUGCGAGAAGAGCUUUCAGGAGUUGAAGACUCGACUCACCUCAGCCCCAGUCUUAGCUCUUCCAGAUGGUCCAGAUGGGUUAAUAGUGUACUAUGAUGCAUCCAGACUAGGUUUGGGUUGUGUCCUUAUGUAGCAUGGUAAGGUCAUAGCCUACGCCUCAAGACAGCUUAAACCCUAUAAGAAGAAUUAUCCUACUUAUGAUCUUGAUUUAGCAGCCGUGGCUUUUGCCUUAAAGAUUUGGAUACAUUACUUGUACGAAGUUCAUAUAGAUGUGUUCACCGAUCAUAAGAGCCUUCAGUAUGUCUUUUCUCAUAAAGAUCUCAAUCUUUAUUAGAGAAGGUGGUUAGAGCUCUUGAAAGAUUAUGACAUGAGUGUCCUUUAUCAUUCGAGAAAGGCCAAUAUCGUGGUUGACGCUCUCAAUAGACUGUCUAUAGGUAGUGUUACUCAUGUUGAGGACAGUAAAAAGUUAGCUCAAGAAGUCUAUCAGUUUGCCAAACUAGGCGUUCUCUUAGUCGAUUCAGAGAAGGGUGACUUAUGGGUUCAGAGUAGUCUAGAAUCAUCUCUAGUUUCUGAGGUAAAAGAAAAGCAAGAUAGAGACCCCAGUUUAGUCAAGUUGAAAGAGUUAGUUAAGGACCAGAAAGUAGAGAUUUUCUCCCAAGGGGGAGAUAGGGUAUUGCAUUUUUAGGGUCGUCUCUGUGUUCAAGGUUUAGAUGACUUAAGGAAGCAAAUUCUUACGAAAACGCAUGGUGUUCGCUACUCUAUUUAUCCAGGGGGCACAAAGAUAUACUGCAAUUUGCGGGAGAUCUAUUGGUGGAGUGAGAUGAAGAGAGAUGUUGCAGAGUUUGUGGCUAAGUGUUCUAUAUGUCAACAGGUUAAGAUAAAGUAUCAAAAGCCUAUUGGGUCCAUACAGGAGCUCAAUAUUCCUACUUGGAUGUGGGAAGAGGUAAACAUGGACUUUGUGAUGGGUUUACCUCGUACUCGUCGCCAGCAUGAUUUAGUUUGGAUCAUUGUAGACAGAAUAACCAAAUCAGCCCAUUUUCUUCCAGUUCAUACCUUUUAUUCAGGCGAGGAUUACGCCAAUCUCUACAUUAGGGAUUUGGUCAGAUUACACGAUAUUCCAUUAUCCAUUAUUUCAGACAGAGGUACCUAGAAGAUACAUGGUCAAGAAGAAAGGACCAUUCAGACCCUAGAAAAUAUAAUAAGGGCAUGUUCAAUUAAUUUCAAGGGUAGUUGGGAUGACCACUUGCCUUUGAUUGAGUUUGCAUACCAUAAUAGCUAUCAUUCUAGUAUUCGGAUGGAUCCAUUCUAUGAUCUCUAAAGAAGGAGAUUCAGAUAUCUUGUUGGUUGGUUCAAAGUUAGUGAGGCCUUGGUGAUAGGACCUGACUUUGUAUUAGAUGCCUUAGAGAAAGUCCAGCUGAUCAGACAAAACUCUGGGCUGCUCAGAGCCGAUAGAAGUCUUAUACAGAUAUACGUAGAAAAGAUCUUAAGUUCAAGGUUGGUGACUAUGUCUAUCUAAAGAUCUCUCCCAUGAAGGGAGUAAAGAGGUUCGGCAAGAAAGGAAAAAUCAGUCCCCGAUAUUUUAGUCCCUUCAAAAUUCUCAGUCGCUUUGGCAAGGUAGCUUAUGAGCUCAAAUUGCCUUCUGAUCUAGCCUCAGUUCAUCCAGUAUUCCAUGUCUCUUUUCUCAAGAAGUGUAUAGGUGACCCAGCAGUUGUAGUCCCUAUUCAGAGCAUAGAUGUUCAGAACAACCUCUCUUAUGAAGAGAUUCCAGUUGAAAUUCUAUACUACCAUACUCGUACACUGAGAAGCAAAGAAGUCCAUCUAGUCAAAGUUCUUUGGUAGAAUCAUUCCGAUGAGAGAGCUACUUGGGAAGCAGAAGCAGACAUGCAUACCAAGUACCCUCACCUCUUCUCUGUUGACUCAGAUCAAGCUUAAGGUAAUAGUUCUCCUUAUGUUUUUUAGUUUUCAUGUCUAGAUUUCAGUUACAACUUGGUAUCAGCCUCAUGUUCAGGAUUUCAUUUUUAAACUUAGUACUAAGUACCAUUGCAUAUCCAAUUAUAUGUUCAUGCAUCAGAUUAGUCAUGUGUUCAUGCAUCAAACAUGCAUUCUCUUUGUGAGAAGACUCAGUUAUUAGAAAUCUCAGUCAUGUAAUCAGUUUCGUCAUGUAUUCAUGCAUCAGAUAUGUGUGAUCAGCUUAUCAGUACUCUCAGUCAUGCAAUCAUGUAUCAGCUCAUUCAUGAAAUCAUGCAUCAGAUAUGCAUGCUCUAUAUAAAUCUCAGAAAUGUCAGUUAUGUAGUCCUAUUUCAGUGUUUAUGUUCAGUAUGUACUUCGGUUUAUCGUUUCUCCCCUCUCAGUCAGUCUCAUUCGAGGACGAAUGUUUCCAAGGGGGAGAUAUUGUAAUACCCCAAAGUUUCCUAACUAAGUUUUUCUCAAAAAUGUCAAGUAUUAGCUUCUAAAUUGAAUGAUGUUUAUUACAUGGUGCAUUUUUAAGAUUUUCACUUUUGUCAUGUGGUAAAUUCAAUACCAAUUUCAUCCAAAUCCGGUAUCGGGGUGAGAAGUUAUGGCCAUUUUACUAAGAGUUGUCGGAACCGCCCAGGUGCGACGGACAGGUUGACGGACCGUUGAGUUUGCGACGAACCGUAGCCCAGACCAUCAUAACCAAGGCAGUGACUCCCUCUUCUAGACCAAGUGCGACAGCCAAGACAACGGACCGUCAAGCUAGCGAUGGACCAUCACUAGGACCAUCGCAACUAAGGCAGUGUGGCCUUUUUCUGAUUAAUGUGCAAUGGACAAUCCAAUGGACCAUCAGACUAGCGAUGGACGAUCCGACGGACCAUUAGACUAGCGACGGACCGUUACUCCGACCGUCGCAAAUCUCGUUCAUUAUUUUUAAGUCAUUUUUAAUAGGAUCUUUUGGGUCUUUUCCCUUUUAAUACCCUGAUAUAUCCAAAAUGAAGCAGAUAGCCUCAUUAUCUCCCAAAACAUCCAAGAUCUAGGGUUUCUCCUUCAAGAGAAAAUCCAAAACCCUUCUCCAAGAAAUUCAAGAACUCACCAUAUAUUCUACAAAUUGAGUUGAGAUUCGAGUUUUGGUAGCCCAAGGCUUCAAGAACCCUCUCUUAAAGAGUAAGAAGAAGAGUUUCAAGCAAGAUUGUUCACCUAGUUUCACAAUCUAAGGUAUGUGGGGUUUCAAUGAGAACAAUCCUUUCGUCCUUGUUCCCAAAACUUGUUUUAAAUUACAAAGAUAUAUGACUUUAUGAGUUGUCCUAUGAAUUUGAAGUGUGGGUUCAUACCCAAUAUUACUAUGCAUGAGAUUUUGAGAUUUGCCAAUGUUCUAGAAAUUGAAGUACAUGAGUAUAUUGAGAUUUUAAGACAAAUUGCUGAACAUUCCAGAUUUCUAUAUGAUUUGUGUAUCCUUAUGUCGGUUAAGAGAACCUCCUUUGAGAUAAGAUAUCUCCCUUGAGAUAGAAUAUUUUCCCUAAAGCUUUGAGAUAAGUUACUUUUCCUAAUAGUAAGAUUUUCAAAAAUAGUUUCUUAAAGUAAAAUUUUCCCAAGAAGAAAGUAGUUUUCUCUACUAGUAAGAGUUAGAGAAUUCUGAGUUCCAAGUGUCUUGAAUUUAAAAGAGUUCUAAGUUCUUGAGCAUUAAAGAAGUUUUACUCUCCAUGAGAUAUAUGCAUGAGUUUGAAAGUAUUGUUUAAAGCUUUCUUUAGUCUUUCAGAUUUUAAAGAUAAAGUAUAAUGACUCACGAGAUUUGUGUUACAUGCUUCAAUCUACAUGAUUUUUGAGCUUUAUAUUGUAGACGUAUUCAAGCUAUGUGAGGCAUUCAUAUUUGCAUGCAUGAUUUGAUUAAAGAGUAUGGAUAUUGUUUUCUGUAAAUACAUACACCCUCAUAUACUUAGUACAUUCCCAAGUGUUGAUCCACAUAUAUGUCUAUGUGAUACGUUGUCUUAUAAUGUAGGUUCAGGUGCUCAGUCCCAGCCUCAUCAGUGAUUUUCGAGUACCUUUGUCUACAUUCUACAGUCGUGAGUCCUCAUAGUUCGAGAACCUAUCUUCAAACAUUUCAGUAUUGUUAGUAGACAUAUUAUUGCUUUCAGUUCAGUUGAGUCAAUUGGGGACCUGUCCCAAUGGCUGUCUAGUAGACUUGAGUAGUAGAGACAUUGUCAGACUAGUUAUCAGAUUGUUAGUAUCCUGAGAUUUCCAGUUUUGUGGUCGUUUGGACCGAGUAUUUUCUUCGUAUUUCCUACCAUUUGAUAUGACAGUACCAGUGCUUUGUUUAUUUCAUCUCGAAAUGAGUUAUUAUAUGUAGUGACAGGCUCAAAGGGUUAGCUUAGGGCUACUUUUAGACUUAAGCACUGUGUGACGUCCUGGAAGGAGAUUUCGGGUCGUUACACAAUGUCUCUUAAGUGACACAAUAUCGCAUACGCGAUGGACACUUAAGGGAACAUAUGAUUGCUUAAGAGAUUGCAUCAACAACCUGAUGCACCAGAUUUUUCUAAAUCUGAAAUGAACUUUAAUUGGGUGCUCAAGUUUUAUUUGGAACCCCAUGCGCGCAAAUAAAAUAUGAUACCAUACCAAAUUCUACCUUCUAAACUCAAUGGAGCUAUCCAAACUUUCUUUUGAGAUCAUUUCAACUAAAGGUGGGGCCCACACCUAUAGUUUUAUUUUUCACAAGAUCUGCCCAAUAGUUCAAAAUGAGUCCAGAAGCCUCAGAACGUAAAACAAGGGUCCCCAAGCCUAAAAUCAACGUUUUGGAGUUGAUGGCAUUGUCAAAAUUCUUAGCAGAGGUCAUUUUUUAGGAUUUUUUGUCUGAGACCAAAUCCUAAACAACGAAAGCUCUAAAAUAGGGAAAUAAGUUUAAAAUCCAAAUGAAGUGUCCGAUAAUCAAAUUGACAGUUUCGGCUUGUCAUAAAUAACCAGUAACCACUAUGGGAAAUCCUGAAACAUAAAUGCACAUAAAUUAAGGAAAUGAUCUGGAGGGUUAUUAUAAUAUCCACUACUAAAAGGACUUUUGUCCGCUAAAGUCAAUGGAUAAAAAAGUCAUGAACGCUCAAAGGGAUGAGGUACUGGGCCAGCAUGCUCAAACACAACUCCCUAGAUAACCUCCAAGAAGAGACAACAUUUUCUAAGGAAUUUUGUGUAGGUAUCCCUUUUUCAACCAACUUCCUUUCUUCCCCUCUCAAACAACCAAAAAUCCACCUCAACCACCAACUGGUUUCCAACUGAACCAAGGAAGGCCAAUGCAUAAAUCUAAACCAUGACACACUGAUACCAUAUUGAUACCAAUAUAAUUAAAUAAAAACUCAUCCAAACCAAUGGCAAGUCAAGGCAUGAACAAUGAAACUAAUUCAAAAUCUAAAUCCUUCUUUUUUUUUCCAAACCAACUACCCACUCCAAACCAAGCAGAAAAUCACCCGAGUCCUGUCCGCGCAACUCUAUCAUACUAACCUUGAAGAACUGAUAUUGAUCCAUCAAAUAUUCAUAGUAUAAAUCAUAAAAAUAAACCAUAAGGUGCUACCUCAUCACACAAAUAGAGAUGACCAAAGUCAGUAAUCUAUUGCCAAUGCUAUAACUAGUACAGAUGACCAUGGAAACUAGAAGCCAAGAGUCUGAAGCACACACACUUAGAAUGGAAUAAUCCACUCUAGGAUUUCCGGAAUAAUCCACUCUAGGAUUUCCCAUCAAUCCGGGAUGAAUCCCUGCUAAAUCAACUCAUGCAUACUACUACAGCUAAGCAAAUCAUCCAAAAAUCCCAAUGAUAAUUGGAACCCGAGGUCAGAGAUAAAGGAAUCAAUAUCGGUGCUAAUCGAACUACCACCUAAACAUCUAUCAACCACAAUACAUCAAAAUCAAAGAAGGCCAAAUAGGUAGACAUAGAGUAGGCUUAGUCAUCCUAUAGAGGAAAUACCAAUUGAGGAAAAUCUGGAAACGACGGUUGUACCCAAGCUCUACAAUUCCAAACUAAAUUCUCAACACCAAGGCUCAACCGCUCGAUCUCAACUACCAAAACCAAACCUAAAGAUGGGUACGUAUCCAUACUCUAAGUCUAUCAUAACCUCUAUGCCGCCAUUCCAAGGUAUUAAAUUUGAAAUUGAAUCAACAAGUCUAAACUAAGGCCAAAUACCUAAAACAACCUUACUAUCAAAAUCAGACAUAUCCUUAUUAAAUUAUGUCAGAGACAACACUAAAUAUAGUUGAAGAACAAAAUCACAACAUAGGAUAAACCACCAACUUCAAACACAAGAAACCAUCUUUAUAUCCACUUAAGGGCACAGACUACCAAAGCAUAGUUAAGAAUGCACCAAGGCUACAAAAUGCACUAGAGAUAACCAAAACUCUAGCAACAUAUAUAAAUGGCACUUUAGCUAGAAACUAAUCAAUUUAGUACUCCAUCUCAGCAAAAGAUACCUAUAGGCACAUAUUCCCAAGGAGAAGUGUUCCACCAAGUCUUAUUAGGCCCAACAAAUUAUGAAAUAAGGAAUUCCUAAAUCCAACUAAGUAGGAAAACCUUAACCCAAUCAAUCCAUGGAUCACAUCACUAAAGAAGAGAGUACCAAUAUUGACACCAAUGCCAAGGUCAAUACUACUACCAAAAAAUAAACUAAGCAAAUUAUGAUAACAAAUUCCCAAUUUUCCAACUUAAAAAGCAAUCAUAGGAAUGAUCACUUAUGUUCAACUCUCUAACUCUACUUUGAGUAUGCACCCAUCAUAGAAAGAACAAAGUAUCAAACUCCACACCAUUACUAAAAUCAAACCAUCACCAGGAGAUAAACCCAACAACCCUGCAAAAGAAAUCCAAGACUUCUCGACAUCAAUAUCAAAAUCACUAUCGAGGAUGAACUAGUCACAUCAAAAGAACAAACCCUAGACUGGCCAACCUCAGAGAUGGUUCACAUAGAGAGGGAUAGCUAAUGAUUAAACCUCCAUAACCCAAGAGGCAGGUCCAAAAAUCUCAAAACCAAAAAUAGACUACACAGCCAAUCACUAUUUCAAGAACCAUAAUUGAACUAUGGAAGGGCAACUUACCUUCACUUCCAUAACCCCCUCAACAAUCGAUCUAGCCUCACCAAUAAAUGAAGAAAAUGUCCAACCUUCUCUUGCUACAAGAGAGAGAUCCUUCAACCAAGAUAGUUUCCUAAGCCAACAAAUAACAACUACGAGGAUGGAAAAUUCUAGCUAGAUACUACUAGUCUAGUCAUCUACCAAGCGAUGAUUAAUAAAUAUCAAACAUUAGCAAUAAUAAUAAUAACCAUAUAAAUAUCAACAAAAGUAAUAGGUAGUACCAAAAAUUAAAAUCAAUAGAAACUACCACUCUAGUCCAUAAGAAGGCCAAUAUACCUAGGUAAAUGGGACUCGAACCCAAAUAGUACACCCUAGGGAAAUAUCAACACAGAUUCAUUCCAUCCACUACUAAAAUAAAUAAUCUAGGGUUAGUCAUAUAAUCAUGAACUCUAUAUCAAGGCAUACAACAAUAAAUAUAAGUCUACCAUUGCACAUGAUCAUCAAUGGGUACGAGAAGCCUGAUACACAUGAAUGAAAAGGUAAAGAUAGAAAAUAAAAGUGCACCUAUCAUGGCAAAAACCAAUGUCACAUGCCUAAUAGGUAUGAGGAAGAAAAAUUCUAAAUGGGUCUAACCUAGGAAUGAGCAUCUGAAUUAUCAACUAAGGAACUAACUGCACUGACUCUAACUAAUGGUUCUACAACACUAUGAGACUGGUCUGAAUGAGUUGAAUGACUAAUAAUCUCAUACCAGGGACACUCUUGGGACCAUUAAUCGAUCUUUUUAUAGUCGUAACAAAUGCCCAAAUCCUUAACCUAGUAAAAAUAUGAGCUAACCUCAACUGGGUAACUGACUGAUGCCAAGGGCACUCCUUACUGAAAUAACCAUCCUUCCUAUAAUCAUUACAUACCUUAAGAACUAUAGGAUGGCUAGGAAUAUAUUUUAACACCAUUUGAACAAUCAAAUUUCAUCUAGGGAACUCUUUAAACUAAUGAUUAAUCUCACCAUAGCCAAAACAAGCAUUUGUAAUACUCUAAGAUACUGCCCCUUCUGAUCCAGAACAACUGCUAUGGCCUAAAGACCUAUACUAAAAACUCUAUAAGGUCCAAUAAGAACUCUACCUAUUGUGAUUACCAUGACUAAUCUAAGGUCCACCUCUAGUCAAAAACAUAACCUAUAUAGAACCAAUAGGCUAUAAGCAAAGUUGACCUCCAUCAAAAGAAUCCUCACUCCAGAUGGAAUACUAAUAACACUAUAUUAAUGACAAGGCCUUUUAACACCACAUCUAUAAGUCUUAGUACAUACUCUCUCUAUGUCCUUCAUGUGGUUUAAAACCUAAGAAAAAGAAGACCUAGUUGAUAUCAAGUGCUUUAAGGAAAAACAGAGUGGCAAUUAUAAUAUUCUUAUAAAUCUAUGCACCAUGUCAUGCUCUGAAGGAUACUAUAUAGGGAUAUUCCUAUCCUACUCAAGAAAGUGAAUCUCAUACUCUAAAACUGAUAAGAAACCCUGCUGAGAAACAACAAACCUAACUCUAUCCAAAGAACUGCUCAAAGAACCAAAAUUCAACUCUAUCUGUAAGGUAUCCACAAAAAGACUUAGGAUACCCAAUGCUAAAUCUUAAAAGGCUGAGGUAUUCAGGAGCUCCACCGGAUCCUAGGUUGGCCCCAAAUCCUUUAACUAAAGUUGAGGAUCUUCAACAUCCAUCUCUAACACCCUAAUUCAAUGUUGCACUGAUAAUCUAGAAACACAUACCAAAGUCUUGUUUGCAUCUAUUGAUAACCUCACAUCAUCCAUGUUAGACAGAAGAGAAUCAAGGAACAUACUUAAGGUUCACAGAAAUUCGAACACACAACAAUGAGUCAAGAAUAGAAUUUCCUAAAAAUAUCUUGUAGCCUCUCAAAUAUUUGCUAUGGAUGUCUUCAAACCGGCACAUAGGAUUCUACUAGGCACUUAGCUCUUGUACUAACACAUCGAUAAACCUACGCUUUGAUACCAAUUUUUCAUGGCCCAUUUUCUCAACUCAUGAUGGCAUCUACUAUAACCCACUACUAGGUAAUCCAACCCCGUAGUCUAGAACUACUAGCAAUGGAAUACCAAGAGAAAAGAAGGAAUAAUACGGUAUAAAUGACGUAAAGGACAAAAAUACACGAGAUAGUCCAAAACCUAGUAAAAUCAAUACAAGGGCUUCUAAUGUAAUAUGAUUUUAAAAUGAAGUACUAAAUGAAUAUACUGAUAAAACCCAUCUUUGAAUACAAUAUAGAAACUAAUCUAAUACAUAAGAGGAUGAAUAGCUAUACUCCAAACACCAUGAGCUCACCCUACAUCUCUAAACUAAUCUAAUAAUUAGAAUGUCAUGAGCAAAUCAUAAUAAUAAUAAUAUAAAGCAACAGGCUAGCCCAGACAAAAAUACCUAAAUUGUGCCCCAUAACUCAAAAGUUCCAAUCAUCACAUAUAACAUACAACAAGCAACACUCAUCACCUAUACUUAUUCAACCCUUUAUCAAGAUAAUAGAUAUAGAUGCGUAAUGGUGACAGGUAAUGAGCAUGCAAGGGAGAAUGCAAAUAGAAUCCAUAAUAUCAUAAUCAAUACAAGUACCAUAAUGUAUCCAAAUGUAAACACCUCCACCAAAUCGAUAGCUCACAAAGGUAGGACCUAUGAAGACCUCUCUUCUCCAGCAUAAUAACUCAUGGACGAAGGGGCCACUAGAGGGUUUAGGAGUACCUGUAUACACCAAUCUAGUUCUAAUCUAGGAUUUCUAAUUUUCAUCAUCAUUAUCAAUCCACUUUGUUCAGCAUAUAUAUAAAUAUAAAUAUAUAUAUAUAUAAGAGGCAUAGGCUAGAACCGUGGCUAAAAGAGUGUAAUUCAAUUAAUCCAUUGGCUGAUGUAAACUCCAAGAUUAAAUUAUCAUAAAAGUGUAGAAAGGGUCAGAAUCUUAGUUGACCAAGGUAAAUAGUAGUUGCAAAAUUAUGGAUCAUAAUAUAUCUCAGUCAAAUCUGUAAACAUCAUUAUUUAGUCUUAAAGGCUAAUAAGUUAUUCAUUAAGAUGGUAUAAUUUCCAUUAUGAAGAAAUCUAUCUAAAAGUCAAAAGUAGGAAUAAAAUCCUUUUUAGGGAAAAGAGUAAUAAAUCCAUAUAUUUUGUUAGAAUCAUACCAUUUACCAUUUUAGUGACCAUGAAUGUACCGAAUCUAUGCAUUCCAUCACCAGUAUCCAAACAAUGCGACCAUAAGUACUAAAAAGAUUAUAAACUAUAGUCAUGUACUUUAGAAGGAUAAAAAAAACUUAUCAUAAUUCAACCAAUAUCAUAAUAAGCAUGUUUCUCCCAAUAAUAUAUCCUAUAUAACCAUAACAUAAUCACCACCAUAGGCCAAAUAAUACAUAUCCAACAUAACCAUACCAUCAUAAUCUAGGAAAAACCAUAACAAUACACCAAUAAGUGUAGUAACAUUAUACUAAAGGUUCAUUAGUCUCAACUAUGUAUAACAUGCAUAUAUAAGUAUAUAAAAACAAACACAAGUCUUAUCCUAUGGUGGCCUCCUUCUAAUCCUCGAAAUUUAUUUUUAGAAAAGUUGUUAUCCCAAACUAGACUAAGGUAUAUAUAUUUACUUCUUGAUGUUAAAUAAGCCUUGAUUAACCCUAAUAAAUCAAUUCUACCUAAAAAUAGGAAACUAAGUCACUUCUACCUAAAUUACGGUUCUAAGGUAGUCUAAAUGGUCCAACUAAGACUAACUAUACCAACCAUGCUUUUAAUACCUAAAUACUAUCCCAUAUAUAGCACAAUAUCAUAAUUAUACUACAAAUUAUCUUAAUAUAUAAAGAAGGUAGUAGGAUCAAAGAAGUAUAAUAAGUAUUUCACCUUAAGGGUCAGUUACCCUUCUAGCCUCCAAACUCAUAAAUUAGACUGUCACAGUGUUUUACCCAAAAUCACAGCCUAAAAUCCCUAUCUAAUAUAUAAUAUCUAUAAAACACCAUCUCAUGAAGAAUAGUAGACAUAAGCUACCUCAAUGAUAAACAACAACCCUUGAAUUAUCCAUGAGUCUUUCGUCUUUACUUCAUGAUCCCAAAAUGUUGUCAUGCUAUCAAAAUAAUAAUUUACAUAUCAUUAGGAGUAAAACAAUACCCUUAUUUCUACAAUAAGGAUCGAUUCAAAUUUUGGGUCAACUAGACCCUGAGACCCACAAAAAAACCUAAAAAUUAAGCCUGUCAUGAGGUCCCUCAAGGACAAGGAAUGUAAAAUAACCAUGGUUUUGGUCCUUUGAAAUUUCAUAAGAUUUGAGCUCACUGUCCUAGUGAUGACUCACAAUAUGAGUAGUAUGGUGUAGGUACGGGUCAAGUGACCCUACUCGUAUGGUAUUCAGUGAAUGGUGGUUGGGUUUCUAUUGUGGUUACGAUUAGGGUGGUACGGGUCAUUAGUGGUGAUGACGGUUUAUGUUUUGAUCCCUUAAGUAAAUCAGUAAUUUAAUAACUUGACUUGGCUUUAAGUAGAGUGGCUCACUAGGAUCCGUGAGAAUAGGGUAUGAGUUAUUCUAACAAGUCGUAUGUUGCUCAGUGCCAAUCCCUUUAGAUUUUGUCUUGGGUAUGAUUGGACCAUACGAGUCAGAUAGUCGGGUCAUGAGUGGGGGUCAGAAAGUUGUAUGGUGGAUAGUGUAUGGGUGACCAACUCACUGUUUUGGUGAUGACUCAAUAGUACGAGUCGUAGUUAUGGUCAUGAGUCAUGGGAUCGACUCAUAACCACCUGUGAUAUUCUUACAUUUUUAAGUUAGGAGUAUUCUGGACAUUUCCUCUUGUAACUCCUUUGUAUACCAUGAUAUAAAACACCUUUUGGGACUUUAUUAACCUAUUAUUAUCAAUCAAACACUCUUAAAAUCUCUCUCUCCAACUCUUAGUUCAAGUAAAGACUAGGGUUUUUUUUAAGCAAUCAAUUAGGGGCUUUUAAGAGUGAUUGUCUCCAUCUUCCUUAGAGUAUAAGUCAUGUUACUCCUACCUCAUUAUUAUUUUACAAAGAGAAUGUGUAUUAAUGAAUAAAUUUCAUGAUAUUGAUAUGGUUUGAAAUAAUGGUUGGGGUUUUUUGGAUGUUUAUGAUUGAAUAAUGUUUCUCAUGGUUUAAUUAUGUUUCUUUCAUGCUUUUAAUAUGAUUUUGACAUUAUGGAAUGCAUGGUUAUGGUAAAUGAAUUUAGGGGUACUUUGGAUUCCCCCAAAUUAAUUGGUUAUGGUUUUGAAACAUGUGUGCCCUCAUCUUGUUUGUUAAAAUGUCAAUGAGAAUGAUUUUUUCACAUAGUUGACUAUUCAUGAAAUCUUUGCAUUACAUAAAAAGGUAAUGGCUUAAAUUUGUUUGGUUGGUCUUAAAUGGGUUGGAAAGGCCUUGGUGGCCAUGGUCAUGUCUUAAUUGAAACUUUAGAUUCAAAUUGGUUUAAUGGUUUUGGUAUGGCAUAAAUAGAUAAACUUGCAAGCUCUAAUUUUGGUAUGACGAUACUAAUGGUUAAAUGCCUAAUAGAAGACUCCUUGGUAAAUGAUUGGAAUAUGUAAAUAGUUUUAAUAUGGGCUUAAAGGGGGUUAUGUAUCAAAUCUGUAGAAGGUGGAGUUCCUAAGAAACCAAUACUAGAAACUCAUAUUUGUUGAUGUGAGGUUUAGUCAUGGUGACCGUGUGCAUGAUAUCACACUUUAUAUUUGGGAUAUGUACCAGUCAUCUCAGGUUCUUUCCUUCGGUCAUACGGCUAACACGUACUAGACCCUUUCAGCAUGGGGAGCUAAACCCAUAUAGCUCGUGGGUGGUUUUAAGAUGGCAAAGCUACACAGACCAAGUUAAGGUUUUAAGUGCAUGCUAAACCUGGUUCCCUUUCCCAACAUGAUAUAGAUGUAUAUAUAUGAUUGCAUAUGGUUAUUUGACUUGGUUUUGAAUAAUGGCAUUAUUUUAUAUUUAUUCCUAAGUAUCUGCUAGCGUUCACUCUGCUAACUAUCUUCUGGCAUUGUAUCACCAUGUGAUGCAGUAAUUGACUAUACUACUAUUCUUCCUACUUAAUGACUUAGAUUUAGGGACAACUUUGAGUCAGACUAAAGUGGUGAACUUUCAUACUUUGGAAGACACUAUUUUAUGCUAUGGACUUCUUUAUUUUUGUUAUUUCAUUGGUUUGGUUUUAUCUAUGUUCUUGGGCAUGUCCUAUUAUUGAUUCUGGAUAGACUUUUUGUUAGACUACUGUGGGCAUGGGUGAUGUCAUUGUUAGUUUUAGCCUUGGUAUUAGUAUUGCUAUUAGGGUUUGUAUCAGUUGGAUAAUUGGUUGAGGUUGUUGGAUUAUGACUACAGACCUUAUUUAAUGUUUAUAAAUUAUUAUUAUUUUAUCUUUUUAUAUGUUUAAAAUUCAUCCGACAUAGGGUGCAAGGUGGUUAUGGUUGGGUAUUGGGGGUGGUCUCUAGUUCUAUUUGGACUUGAUGUGCCCGACACGACUAGGACCUAGUUUAGAUCAUAUUAAAUUAGUAUCAUAGCACUAGGUUCAUGGCCAAUUGGAUAUCUAACAAAGUCAUGUCGAGUAGAAUCUCUUUUAUGGAUGCGUAGCACACCAUACUCAUAAAGGGGAGGCUAUAAGGCAUUUAGAAAUAUUUCUCUUUCUUGUGUUCUAUUUUUGAGUUGUAGAGUCUAAGGUCCUGAAAUCUUCUCUAAUUCUCAUUUGUUCUCUUUUCAGAUCAUGACUCCUCAAAUAUCCGAAGCUCAUGGAAACUCCUCUAUCCCACUUGAGGAUAAUGUUGAUGGGACCAGUUCUACUUAUGGGAUCUAAACCUUAUCUAGGGAUCCAUUCCUAAUUUUCUUCCUAGAGUUCCACCAAUUCCCUCUAGUCCUUCUCAAGCUUCUCAGGCUGAUGUGAUGAAUGUUGAGUUUCAUCAGUCUAUUCAUAUGUUAGCAUCAUUGGUAGCUUCUUAGGAUGAGCAUGGUGAAUCUAUUACUCCAUCUUUUGAGGCCAUAAGGGUUGGCUAAUUUAUAAGGUUAAACCCUCUUGUGUUCAUGGGUGUUAAGGUUAAGGAGGAUCCUCAAGUUUUUAUGGAUGAGAUGGAAAAGUUCUUCUUUAUUAUGCAUGCUACUAGUGUGAAAGGUGUGGUAUUUGCUACCUAUCAACUAAAAGAUAUAGCAUACCAAUGGUAUGAGGAAUGGGAACAUACUAGGGGUGAUGAUGCUAAGCCAGCCUUGUGGGAUAAUUUUUCUAAUGCUCUUCUAGACUGCUUCUUUCCUCAAGAGUUAAGGAAAGCAAAGGCGGAAGAGUUUGUUAAUCUGAAACAAGGCAAGAUGUCAGUCAAGGAGUAUGCCUUAAAGUUUCACCAAUUAUCUUGAUAUGCUCUAGAAUUAGUUUCUAGCCUGAGGUCUAGAAUAAGAAAGAUUUCUUUUAGGUUUUCUUAAGACUUAAUAUAGGAAAGUAAGAAUUCCUUAUUGAACAGGGACAUAGAUAUCUAUAGGUUGGUUGUGUACAUACAACAGGUAGAAGAAGAGAAGAAGAAGCAUGUUAAGAUAGUAGAGAGGCAUAGAAAGAAAUUCAAAUUUUCUGAGUAGGGUAAUAGCCAAAAGUAGAGUGGCAGGGAUGAUGGGAAGUGGUCUAAAAUAAAGUGGGUCAAUUUUGGGUCUUACUCAACGGCUUGUGCUCCCUACCCAAAGCCAUUGGGUGACCUGCAUUUUAGAGCAGCAGUAAUUAUAAGGCAUAGGGUGCCCAAUCUCAGGCUAGUGGGGCUCAGUCAGCUCUAUAGUAUCCUCUCUACAGAUUUUAUGGGUGAAUGCAUUAGGGUUAUUGUGAUGAAGAAAAGGACAAGUGCUUCAACUGUGGUCAACCCAGGCACAUGGUUAGAAAUUAUCCUAUUGGUAAGGUUGCUUUUGGGUAACAAGGUUCUUGUUACCUUUUCUUCAGCUCUGGACCAAAGGGUGCACCAUCUAGUUCCAAUACUGGUCGAAACUGUCUCUAUGCUCAUACUACUUGCCAGGAGUCCGAGGCAUUGCUUGAUGUCAUGACUAGUAUGUUGACACUCUUUUCUUAUGAUGUGUAUUGUUUACUUGAUCCUGGGUCCACUGUCUCUUAUGUAACCUUAUUUAUGGCUAUAUAUUUUAGUUUUGGUUCUGAGUGUAUUUCAGACCCUUUUUUUAAUUUCUACCCUAGUGGGUGACUCUGUGGUGGCUAGAAGAGUCUAUAGGGGUUGUGUGGUAGCUAUGGGUAGUUGGGAGACUUUGGUGGAUUUAUUUGAAUUAGACAUGAUUGAUUUUGACAUCAUAUUAGGGAUGGACUAGUUGUACUUGUUUUAAACUUCUCUAGAUUGUCGGACCAAUAAGGUUGUCUUUAAAUUCCCUAAUAAGCCAUAUAUUGAUUGGGAGGGUGGUUCGCUGCUCCUAAGGGAAAUUUCAUACCAUAUCUUAAAGCUUGGAGAUUAAUCUCCAAGGGGUGUCACUAUCAUCUAGUUUGGGUUAAAGAUUCUAACUCGGAGGGUCCUUCUUUGCAUUCUGUCCUGGUGGUGAAUAGAUUUCUUGAGGUCUUCUUUGUUUACCUUCCUGAUGUCCCUCCUAAUAGAGAGAUUAAUUUUUGGGUUGAUAUUAUUUUGGACACUUGUCCGAUUUCUAUUCCUCCGUAUAAAAUGGCUCCGACUGAGUUAAAUAAGCUUAAGGAGCAACUAAAGGAUCUCUUAGACAAAGGUUUCAUCCAUCCUACUAUGUCCCUAUGAGGUGCACAUAUUUUGUUUCUAUGAAACAAUGAUAGUUUCCUUCGGAUGUGUAUUGACUACCGGCAGUUGAAUAAAGGGACAUUAAAUAGUAUACCCUCUUCCAGGGAUAGAUGAUUUGUUUGAUCAGCUUUAGGAUGCUAAAUAUUUCUCUAAAUUUAAUCUUUGAUCCAGGUAUCAUUAGUUAAAGAUUAAGGAGGUAGAUAUCCCUGACACUGCCUUUCGUACUAAGGAUGGGCAUUUUGAGUUUCUGGUUAUGUGUUUGGGUUGUCUAAUGCCCCAGUGGCAUUCAUAGGCUUGAUGAAUAUAGACUUUCAUCAGUCUCUAGAUUUGUUUGUCAUCUUAUUCAUAGAUGAUAUUUUGGUGUAUUUUAAAAGCGAGGUGGAUCAUUCCAAUCACCUCUAUAUUGUGUUGCAAACUCAAAAAGAGCAGUAGUUGUAUGCCAAGUUUUUGAAAUGUGAAUUCUAGUUGAAUGCUAUCACUUUUUUAGGUCAUGUCAUUUCUGGUAAAGGGAUCAUGGUGGAUUCACAGAAGUUUUCAGUGGUUAAGAAGUGGCCUAGACCUAUGACUCCAAUCGAUAUUUGGAGUUUCUUGGGUUUAGUUAGAUACUACAAGAGGUUCAUGGAAAGCUUCUCUUCUAUAGCUGCCCCAUUGACUAAGUUAACUCAGAAGAAGGUGAAAUUCUUAUGUUUUGAUGCUUAUGAGGGUAGUUUUAUGAAGCUGAAAGAUAAGCUGACUUUGGAUCUAGUCUUGACCUUGGCCAAAGGCAUUGAUAGAUUCGUAGUCUAUUGUGAUGCAUCCUAUAUGGGGCUUAGUUAUAUUUCGAUGCAGUGUGGCAAGGUGAUAGGUUAUGCUUCUAGACAGUUGAAGGUGUAUGAGAAGAAUUAUCAGACCUACAACUUGGAAUUUUAUGUUGUGGUGUUUGCAUUUAAAAUCUGGCAUCACUAUCUAUAUGGCAUGUAUAUGGAUAUCUUUUCAGAUCAUAGGAGCCUGCAAUAUGUGUUUAUUCAGAAAGAACUUAAUCUAAGGCAAAAAAUGGAUUUAGUUUUUGUGGGAUUAUGACAUGAGUCUCCACUACCAUCUAGGUAAAGCUAAUGUGGAUGUUGAUGCUUUUAGUAGGCUAUCCAUAAGAUGUCUAGCUCAUAUAGAUAAAAAAAAGUGGGAAUUGGUGUAAGAUAUUCACCAUUUGGUUAACCUUGGAUUUUAUCUCUUGGAUUCUAAUAAUGGUGGUGUGGUUUUGUAGGAGGUGGCGUAGUCAUCUCUUAGUGCUGAAGUAAAGAAGAAGCAAGUCUUGGAUCCUAUCUUGAUAAGGAUUAAAGGUGAUAUAGUGGGCAAAAGGCAAUGGCUUUCAAGAUUAGUGGUAAUGGUAACUUGCGUUACCAAGAAAGUUUAUGUUUUCCUAAUAUAGAUGGUUUGCAUGAGAGGAUCUUAUCAAAGGUGCAUAAGUCACAUUAUGUUAUCCAUCUUGGGUCGAUAAAAAUGUAUCAUGACCUUAAAGAGAUGUAUUGGCGGAACAAUAUAAAGCAGGAUGUGGCAAGUUUUGUUUCUAACGGUAUGGUAUGCCAACAAGUAAAUGUUAAGCAUAUAAGACCAGAGGAUCAAGAAAUUGAGUUUCCUGUGUGGAAAUGGGAAGUGAUCAACCUGGACUUCAUUACCGAUCUUCCUCUAUCUCGAAAUCAAUUUUAUUUAGUUUGGGUCAUCAUGGAUAGGGUGACAAAGUCUGCUCAUUUCUUACCAGUAAGGACUAAUUUUUUAAUAGAGCAUUACGCAAGGUUGUAUCUCCAAGAGCUUAUAAAGUUGCAUGGGGUACCUAUUUCUAUCAUCUUAGAUCAUGGUAUGCAGUUUUUAUCACACUUUUGGCAGUCAUUUUAGAAAGGUUUGGGGACCAUGGUGAGUCUUAGUACAGCCUUCCACCCGCAGUCGGAUGGGCAAGUGGAAAAGACUAUUUAGAUAUUGGAGGAUAUGCUUUGGGCUUACGUGAUUGACUAUGGUGGUAGUUAGGUUGAGUAUUUUCCUCUUAUAAAGUUUGCCUAUAAUAAUAGCUACCACUAGAGAAUUAGAAUGGUUCCAUUUGAGGUGUUGUAUGGUAGGAGGUGUAGAUCUCUUAUUGGGUGUUUCGAGGUUGGUGAGGCAGAGAUGUUUGGCUCAGAGUUGGUUCGCCAGGCCAUGGAGAAGGUGAAGGUGAUUCUGGAUAGACUUAAGGCUACCUAAAGUUGGAAAAGUCCUAUAUGGAUAUAAGAUAAAGUAAUUUAGAGUUUGAGGUUGGGAUAGGGUGUUCUUGAAGGUCUCCUAUGAAGUAAUGAUGCGGUUUGGGAAGAAGGAAAAGCUCAGUCCCUAGUAUGUUGGUUUGUACUUUGUUUUGAGAAAGGUUGGUAAUGUUGCGUAUGAGAUGGAGUUGCCUUCUAGUAUGAGAUCCAUUCACCAUGUAUUCCAUGUUUCUAUGUUGAGAAAGUGUAUGGGUGAUCCAUUGCGAAUUAUGCCUAUCAAGGAUAUUAGUAUUCUGGAUUCCCUAUCUUAUGAGGAUAUCCCGAUUGAGGUCUUGAAUCGUUAGGUUAGUUGAUUGCGGACCAAGGAAAUGGCCUUGAUAAUGGUUUUAUAGAGGAACCACAAAGUUGAAGAGGCUACUUGGGAAGCUAAAAAGGAUAUGAAUUCCAAGUCUCUAACUUUGUUUUCUGCUCCAGAAGAUCAUACGGAAGGUAUGUGUUAUUCUUAAUAUCUUUGCUUUCUAACUUAGAUAAAGGUAAGAGUGGAUUGUGAAUUCCUUGGCAAUCUGUUUUAUGUAUUAAUGGUAAGCAUAGGGAUGCGUGAGGGUUCAAUCAUGCUAGUCAAUGCCUUGUCCUAUCAUUUGAGGAUGAAUGAUCUAAGUGCGGUAGAAUUGAAAUACCCUGGGUUUUGGUCCUUUGAAAUAUCCUGAGCUUUGAGCUCACUGUCGUAGUGAUGACUCGCCAUAAAAGUCAUAUGGUGUGGGUACGGGUUAGGUAACCCUACUUGUAAGGUUUUCAGUAAAUAGUGGUUGGGUUUCUGUUGUGGCUACGAUGGGGUUAUAUGUGUUAUUACUGGUGGUGACAGUUUCCUUGGUCGGUCCCUUAAGUAAAUCAGUAAUUUGGUGACUUGCCUUAGCUCUGACUAAGAGUGGCUCACUUGGAUCCAUGAGGAUAGGUUACGAGUUAUUUUGACAAGUCGCUUGUUGUCUAAUGUCAAUUGCUUUGGAUUCUGUCUUAGGUAUAACUGGACCAUAUAAGUCAUAUGGUCGGGUCACGAGUGGGGGUCAUGGAGUCGUAUGGUGGACAGUGUAUGGGUGUCCAACUUACUAUUUUGGUGACGACUCAAUGGUACAAGUCAUAUGUUGUGGUGACGAGUCAUGGGAUUGAGUCGUAAGCACCUGCAAUAUUUUUAUAGUUUUAAAAUGCGGCAUUCUAGAUAUUUUUCCUUGCAACACCUUUGGAUAACAUGACAUACAACACCUUUUAGGACUUCAUUAACCUAUUAUUCUCAAUCAAACACUCUUAAAACCUCUCAAACUCUUGGUUCAAGCAAAGGCUAGGGUUUUUUCAAAACAAUCAAUUAGGGGCUUUCAAGAGUGAUUCUCUUUGUUUUCCUUGGUUUCUAUGGCAUGUUACUCCUCUCUCAUUGUUAUUUUAAAGAGAUCAAGUGUUUUAAUGUAUGAAUUUCAUGAUGUUGCUAUGGUUUGAAAUAAUGGUUGGGGUUUUUUCGAUGUUUAUAGCUAAAUAAUGUUUCUCAUGGUUUAAUGAUGUUUCGUUCAUGCUUUUAUUAUGAUUUUGACAUUGUGGAAUGCAUGGUUUUGGUAAAUGGAUUUAGGGGCACUUUGGAUUCUCCCAAAUUACUUGGUUAUAGUUUUGAAACAUAGGUGCCCUUAACCUGUGUAUUAAAAUGCCAAUGAGAAUGAUUUGGUCAAAUAGUUUGACUAUUCAUGAAAUCUUUGCAUUGCAUAAAAAGGUAAUGGAACUUAAUUUGUUUGGUUGGUUUUAAAUGGAUUGGAUAGGCCUUGGUGUCCAUGGUCAUGAUUUAAUUGGAAACUUUGGAGUCGAACUGGCUUAAUGGUUUUGGUAUGGAAUAAAUGGAUAGACUUGCAAGCUCUAAUUCUGGUAUGACGAUACCAAUAGUUAAAUUCCUAGUAAAAGACUCCUUGGUCAAUGGUUGAAAUGUGUAAAUGGUUUUCAUAUGGGCUUAAAGGGAGUUGUGUAGCAAAGUCGUGGAAGGUGGAGGUCCCGGGGGGACUAAUACUGGAAACUCAUGAUUGCCUAAUGAGGUUUGGUCAUGGUGACCGUGUGCCUGAUGUCAUACUUUAUAUUUUGGGAGAUAUACUUGUCAUCUCUAGUUUUUUCCUCUAAUCUGUGGCCAACACGCACUAGUUCCCUUUCAGCAGGGGGAGCUGAACCCGUAUAGCCUGUGGGUAGUUUUAGGACAUCAAAUCUACACAGCCCAGAUAAAUGUUUUAAGUGCUUGCUAUACCCGGUUCCCUUUCCGGGCACAUUAUAUAUGUAUAUAUAUGAUUACAUUUGGUUAUUUGACUUGGUUUUGAAUGAUGUAAUUAUUUUAUCUUUAUCCAUAAGUACAUGCUAGAGUUCACUCCGCUAACCGUCUUCGGUCUUGUAUCCCCACACGAUACAGGAACCGGCCUUACUAUUAUUCCUCCUACUCAGUGACUUGGAUUCAGGGACAACUUUGAGUUAGACUUACAUGGUUAGCUUCCAUACGUCGAAAGGCUCCAUUUUAUGUUAUGGACUUUUUUUUUGUUAUUUCUUUGGUCUAGUUUUGGCUAUGUUUGGGGGAAUGUCCCAACCGGAUGUUAUUGAUUCUGGAUAGAAGCUUUGUCAGACUACUAUGGGCAUAGGCGGUGUCGGUAUUGGUGUCAGCCUUGGUAUUGGUAUUGGCAUUGGGGUUGGCACAGGUUGGAUAAUUGGUUGAGGUUAUCGGAUUAUGACUAUAGACCUUAUUUAAUAUCAUUAGACUAUUAUUGUUUUAUCUUGUUAUAUGUUCAAAAUUCAUCCAACAUAGGGUACAUAGCGUUUAUGGUUAGGUAUUGGGGGUGGUCUCCGAUCCUGAUUGGACUUGAGAUGCCCAACAUGACUAGGCUUGGUUUGGGUUGUGUCAUAAUAUGUUCUCAAAAGUUGAGCACAAACAGAGUAUAAAUAGGGCCUCAAAUCAAAGGUCAAAAUUUAGGAAUUUAAGACCUAGUUUCUAAGAAUUUUACCAUGAAUUAAGAUGGAAAUCGAAGGAAAAAUUAAUGGGCAAUAACCAUUUAGGGUUAGGUUAUUAUACCUUAACUUAUAUGGAUGAUUUCCCACUUUUUCCUCUCUUUGUUCUCUCAACUUGGUGUAAAAAUAGUGGAAGAAAUGGUAUAAAAUCGGGAUGGGAAGAGGGCAUCUAAAUCCUCUAGGUGCCACUUACGCAGUCACUUUAUCGCUUAAGCGGCUCACCUAUCGCUUAGGCGAUCUGGAGGUUGGGGAUCGGGUAUUGAUUGGGUGACCCAUAGGAUGCUUAAACGAACAAAGCAUCACUUAAGUGGCAAUUGACCAGAUGGUCAAUGUCUCAAAAGUGACAUAAUAUGACAUACACAAUGACAGUUUAAGAAGACAUAUGAUUACUUAAGUGGUUUCAUUAGCAAUCUGAUGCACCAUAUUUUGCAAAGUCCAGAAUGGACUUUGGUCGGGUGCUCAGGAUUUAUUCGGAACCUCGUACGCGCAAAUAAAAUAUGCUACCAUAUAAAAUUUGACAUUGUAGACUAAAUAAAACCAUCAAAACUUUCAUUCAAGUUUGUUUUGACCAAAAGUUGGGCCCACACCUAUAGUUUUAUUUUUUAUAUAAUUCUCCUAAUUGCACAAAAUGAGUCUGGAAAGCUCGAUGCCUCAACCAGGGGUAUCUGUAGCCUAAAAUCAAUGUUUUGGAGUUGAUGGAGCUGGCAAAAUUUGCAUCCAAGGUUAUCUACUAGGUGUUUUGGUCUGAGACCAAAUCCUAAAUAGCAAAAGCUCAAAAAUAGAUAAAUGAGCCUAAAAUCCAAAUGAACUGUCCAAUAAUCGAAAGACGGUUUCGUCAAGUCAUAAAUGACUUGUAGCCUUUAUGGGAAGGGUUGAAAUACCUGAAAUGCAUAUAAAUUAAGGAAAUGACCUAGAGGAUCAUUGUAAUUUUAAAGUAUCCUAGGGUGUCUAAAAGUCACAUUAAAUAAAGACUUAUUCAUAGGUGUGAAGCAUGUCACACUUAUGAUAGAGAGAGACUAUGAAACAUUUUAGUAGAAGUUUUACUUCUUUCAUGUUCAUAUUGUGCGAUACAGUGUGAACUCUAUUAAAUCCUUCUUCUUACUCGUUCUCUACAUAUUUCAAAAAUGUGCCUCUAAUAGAACUAACGAAAAUAGGAGCAGAAAUGAUAACAAUGUUAAGAAUCAGCAAAAAAACACUGCUAACUCUAUAAAAUCCUCUGAAUAAACAAUUCUCCCAUGCUAAACUUAGGGCUAUUUCUAUAUCCUUAGCCCAGUCUAUGACCACCCAGAAUAACCAACUGGUUGUGCCACUAGCCAACCCAAUAAUGAAUGUGAAACCAGCUAGAGUCUGAGACUUCACUCGGCUGAAUCCUUCAGUGUUUUUUGGGUCCAAGUAUGAAGAGGAUCCAUAGGAUUUAUAUGAUGGUAUUUAGAAAGUUAUAGAGAUAAUAGGUAUUACCCCAACUCAAAGUGCUUAUUGUGUUGUUUAUCAUCUUUAAGGAAUGGCUCACAUAUGGUAUAAUGGAAAAAAGAUAAGGGUACAGAAGUAAAGCUAGUGCAGUGGGAUGAGUUUGUUGUUGCAUUUCUGCACAUAUACUUCCUACUUGAGAUAAUGAAGGCCAAGGUGAUGAAAUUCAUAAAGCUAAAGCAGGGUACCAUCAGCGUAAAGGAGUAAUUAGUUGGCAAGGUAUGCCCCAACUAUGGUUGUUGAUUGCAGGGCCUGCAUGAGCAAUUUUGUGUGUGGCAUUUCUGAGGAUAUGGUUAAAGAGUGUAGGAAUACUAUGUUUGUGAAUGAGAUGGACAUCUCUAGGCUAAGGUUAAUGCUUAAUAGACUGAAGAAGAGAAAAUAAAGAAGAAAUAAUGGGAGAUUAAAAAGGCCAAAAUAAGUAGCUUCAAUUUAUCUCAAUUAAAGUAUGAUGGUGGAACUCAUUCUCAGUUUCUCCAGAAAUCUUCAGCUCUAUCCCCAUCUUCUGGUAGUGCUCCAGUGCCCAAGUUCAACAAGAUAAUCUAGAUAGGUCGCUAGGAUCCAAGUCCUAGGGUAGUACUAGUAGUAUUUGUACUAACCCGAUAUGGAUGAAAUAAGGUAGACACCAUAAAGGUGAGUGUACGAUUUAGAUUUUGGUGUGGAAAUCUAGGCCAUGGACAGAGGGAAUAUCUAGUGUCUUAGAAAAGAGGUAGGGAUGUUUGUUAGUAAAGUUAGUCCAACUCUUCAGUAACUCUAGCAAUUCACCUAACUUGAUAGGUAAUCUCACCUAGAUCAACUAGAGGACAGCAUCAAAAUAGGUUUUAUGCCCUUCAAAAUCGACAGGAUCAGGAGGGUUCUCUUAAUGUAGUCAUGGCUAUGUUAUAGGUCUUUCAUAUUCAUGAUUAUACAUUAUUAGAUCCUAGAGAUACAUUUUUUAUAACUCCCUAUAAAGCAUUAGUCUUCGGUGUCUGCCUCAAAAUUAUUUCAGAACCUUUCUCAAUCUCUAUUCUAGUUAGUGACUCAGUCAUACCUAGAUGGGUAUGCAGAAAUUUUCCAAUCAUAAUUUCCCACAAAGUCACCUUAGUUUACCUUGUAAGGUUAGACAUGGUAGACUUUGAUGUCAUUUAUCUCAUUGAUUAGCUCUACUCUUUCUAUUCCUCUAUUGAUUGUAGAAAGAGAGUAGUCCAAUUCUAGUUUCCAAAUGAACCAGUUCUAGAGUAAAAGGGUAGUACCUUAACGCCUAUGGAUAGUUCAUCUCCUACCUUAAGGAUAGAAAGUUGAUCUCCAAAGGUUAUAUCUGUAAUAUUGUUUGGUUUAAGGAUUAAAAUUAUGAAGCCUUAACUCUUGGAUCAGUUCCAGUGGUAAACAAGUUUCUAUAAGAUCUACCCAGAGUUCUUCCCGAAUAGGAAAUUGACUUUGGAAUACAUCUCCUUCCAUAUACCCAACCUAUUUUAAUUCCACCCUAAGAAUGUCUCCACCCAAGACUAAGGAGUUGAAGGAACAACUAAAAGACCUCCUAGACAAGAUUAAAUUUGGCCCAACAUCUCUCUGUGGGGUGCUCUAAUUCUUUUCGUGUGCAAGAUAGUUCUCUCAAAAUGUGAAUCAAUUACCAUCAAUUGAACAAGGUCACGGUUAAAAAAAAGUAUCCCACCCCUAGAAUUGAAGACUUGUCGGGCUAACUUCUGGGUGAAAAAUUAUUUCUCUAAGAUAGACCUCCGAUCAGGCUACCAUAAGCUCAAAGUUAGAGAACAUGACAUUUGAAUGACAAGCUUCAAAAUCAAUAUGUUCACUUUGAAUGUGUUGUUAUGUCUUUUGGAAUAAUGAAUUUUCCUGUAACUUUUAUAGACUUGAUAAAAAGGGUGUUCAAUCAGUACUUGGAGAUAUUCGUCAUAUUCUUCAUAGUUGAUAUCCUCAUUUACUUUCAUACUAAGGAUGAACAUGCAAUCAUAUGAGGAUUUUCUAGCAGACUCUUAAAAAUCACCUACUUUCUCCAAGUUCAUUAAGUGUGAAUUCGGGUUGAAAUUACUAACAUUCUUUGGUCAUAAUAUUUUUUUUGUAGGUGUUGGGAUUGAUCUUAAAAGACUAAAGCAACAACGAACUGGCCUAGGACUAUUUAUCCAUCAAAUAUUAGGAGUUUCUUGGGCUUAGAUGGCUACUACAUAUUGUUUUUUGAAUGAUUUUCCUCCAUUGCCUAUCCCAUGUAUAGGUUGACUUAGAAGAAAGUAAAAUUUUAGUUGUACGAUUCUUAUGAAAAGAGUUUUUAAGAGUUGAAGACUCAACUCAACACUGCUCCAGUUUAACUUUGCUUGAGGACUCAAAUGGUUUUAUGGUUUACUAAGAUAUAUACAAAUAAAGAGUUAUAGAAUAUGCCUCUAUACAACUCAAGUCUCAUGAGAAGAACUACCCGACAUAUGAUCUCAAGUUUGUAGCAGUUGUUUUGGCUUUAAAGUUUUGAGGCAUUACCUCUUAAGGUUUGUGUUGAAGUGUUCAUUGAUCAUAAGAGACUUCAGUGUGUGUUCAGUCAGAAAAAUCUAAGUCUACGACAAAUAAGAUAGAUAGAGUUGUUGAAAAGUUAUGAUAUGAUUGUCUCAUACUAUCUUGGUAAAGAUAAUAUGGUGGAAAACACUUUUAGCAGAUUAUCUAUAGUAAGUGUUGCUCAUGUAUAGGAUGAGAAUAAGGAACUAGAUUGUGAGGUUCAUUGGCUGGCCAACCUAGGAGUUCGGUUGGUUGAUUCAACUAAUUAUAGUAUUUUGGUUUUGAGUGGUUCAAAAUCACCUUUGAUAUCCAAGGAGAAUUAAAAGUAAGAUAGCGAUCCUAUUUUGCUUAAAUUAAAAUCAACGGUAUAAAGUCAAAAGGUUGAGGUUUUCUCCUAAAGAGGGGAUGGUGUUUUUUGCUAUCAAGGUAGACUUUAUAUUCAGGAUGUAGAUGACUUAAGACACCGGAUGCUACCAGAGUCUCAUAGUUCUCGGUAUUCUAUAUACCUAGGAGCCACUAAGAUAUACCUUGAUUUAUAAGAAGUCUAUUGGUCGAAUGGUAUGAAGAAAGAUAUUGCAAAAUUUUUGGCUAAGUGUCUAAAUUGCCAAUAAAUUAAGGUCGAGCACGAGAGACCUAGUGGUAAGCUUUAAGGCAGAAUAUCCCUACUUUGUAGUGGGAAGUAGUGAAUAUGGACUUCAUCACAAGGUUGUCUCAUACUCAUCAACAAAAUGAUUCCAUUUGGGUUAUUGUGGAUUGAGUAACUAUGUAAGCCCAUUUUCUACUAGUUAAAACUUUAGAUUCAGUUAAGGACUAUGCUAAACUCUACCUUAAGGAGUUGGUGAAAUUUCAUGGAGUCUCUUUCACUAUCUUAUCAGAUCAAGGUACUUAGUUUAACUUUUAAUUUUUAAAGAUGUUUCAGAAGGGUCUUGGAACCCAAGUUCAUCUCACUACAACUUUUCACCCACAGAUAUAUGGUCAGGCAGAAGGACCAUUACGACCUUAGAGGACAUGUUGAGAGGUUGUGUGAUCUAUUUCAAGGGUAACUAGGAUGAUCAUUUUCCUUUGAUUGAGUUUCCUUAUAAUAAUAACUAUCUCUCCAGUAUUCAGAUAGACUCAUUUUAGGAAAUUUAUGGUAGGAGGUGCAGAUCUCCUUGGUUGGUUUGAGGUUGGUGAAGCUAUAUUAAUAGAACCAGACUCAAUCCAUGAGGAUAUUGAGAAAGUUUAGCUAAUUAGAGAAAGGUUAAGAAUGGUUUAGAGUCAUCAAAAAUCCUAUGCAAAUGUGAGAAAUAUAGAGCUUGAGUUUGUUGUUGGUGAUUUUAUCUACUUGAAAGUUUCACUUAUAAAGGGGUGAAAAUUUUGUGAAGCAAGGAAAGCUUGGUCCUUGAUAUAUAGGUCCUUAUGAUAUUGUAGGUCACUUUUGAAAAGUAGCGUAUGGGUUAGAUUUGCUGACAGACUUAGCAACAGUUCAUCCAAUCUUCCAGGUUUCCUUGUUGAAGAAAUAUAUUAGUGAUCUGGAAUCGAUUGUGCCCUUAAAAGGGUGGGCGUGAAAUAUAGUGUCUCUUAAGAAGAGGUUCCUAUUAAGAUCCUAGACCAUUAGGUUCGUGAGUUAUAAAAUAAAGAGGUCACCAUUGGCAAAAGGAUUUUGGCAAACUCAAUCGGUUGAGGGAGCUACUUAGGAAAUAAAGGCAGAUAUGAUGACCAAGUACCCCCACCCCUUCCCCUCUAACUCAGUUGCAUCCUAAGGUAAUUAUUUCUCCAUAAUUAAUUAGUUCUUAUUAUUUUAUGUCAACUAACUAUUCUCAUGUCAUAGCAUGUGUCCAUGAUUCUUGUUUAGUCCACGUUUUAGUUACCAACUUAGUAUCAUGUCAAUGCCCAGGUCAAAAAACUCGAUGUAAAAAUUUUAGGUAUAGAUAGUGUUAAAGGAUUCCAAUAAUAUCACGAGAAGUGGUAAAGAGAAUGUGGGAAUUGUAUCUCUUUUCCCCUAAUCUUCCAGCUUAGUCAAUUUCCAUUCAGGGAUGAAUGACCCCAAGAGGGAGAUAAUAUAACACCCCAAAAAUUCAAUCCAAGGAUAAAACUAUGCAUCAAGUACAUGUAGGAUUAAAUAUCAAGUUUUAACAUAAUGAGAAGGGAUUUGGCCACGUACAAAGUCUAAAAAAACCUCCUAGCCCAUAACGAAGCCAAAACAUUCCUUAUCAAUUGAUUCCUAAAGAAAUAAUCAGAUUCAAACAAGUAUAACUUACAGAUUCUAAAGAAACUCUAAGAUCAAGACCUACCAAAUGAUAUUAUAUUUGAAUUAGAAUUCCAACGUAUCUAGUUUUUCCUUAAUUCAAUAUCAGAGAGAAAAGUUAUGGUCUAUUUAGUGAAGUACUCUUGUAGUGAGAUAUCACGAACCAAACCAUGCCCGUGGUUCUGAUAUAUACAUCCCGAAAAUCUGAAAUCUUACAAAUAUACCUUCCAAUGAUAAGAGGGAACCACGAUUGUGCUUUGAACCACGAUCCUAGGCACGUGAGAUUGAACCUAAAAACCUAUGAACCAAGGUAAAAUUGUUGGUAGGCCCUAUGAUUGUUCCAAGGCUCAUCUGAUCAUGUUCAUAGAGCUCUCUCCAGAUCCAAACCAUGAGCACAAUCCAUGAUCCUACGUUGGUCCCACAAUCGUGGAAAGGUCCCAUACGUCCCUUCCAGCAGCUUUCAGUUAUGAAUUUUAAAGAGGAACAUCAGUAUUUACCUACUUAUUUAACAUCAAAACAACAUCGUAUAGGUUAUUUAAAGGAUAAUUAUUGAGAUUAAUAUUACCAUAAGCCCCCAUUACUCAUAAAAACAUCUAACACUUAGUUUCAAAUAGAGAAAAGAGGAGAUUUCUUUCCCCAAGGCAUAGCUAGGGUUCAUCUUCUUCAUGCUUUUUAAUUUUUAGGAAUUCUUCGCAAUUAUUAUUUCCAGAUUUGUGGGAUUUCAUAAAUGGGUCUCUUUUCACCCAUUGAGUCCCAAAGUUAACCCAAUUCUUUAGUUUAGUUCCUUCUUUAUAAUUUAGGAUUUAUGGAUGUUGUAAAAUUCCUUGAUAUCUCAAUCCCUUGGAGUUAUUGAGUCAUAAUACAUAUAUUAUCAUGAAUUUCAAUGUUAUUAAAUGUCCAUGAUCACAAACCUUAAUUAUAUUUUUAAAUCCAUUUGUCUGUACUUGAGUUAUUAUAUUUCAUAAAAUCACUCAGAUUAUAAAAUUGGCAUAAUAAUUGCACUCUUCAGAGAUGGUGGGUUAUGAAUAUUCUAUGAACUAGGAUUUCAUGUGUAUACUCUUGAGUAUUAUAUCCUUUCGCUUACAUGUUUUGAAUGCUUUCAGAUAAUGUACUUAUUUUCUAUCCUCGGAUUAUUAUUAUUAUUAAGUAUUGCAGUUAUUGGUCUCAUUUAGUUAGGAGUAGUACUUAGCACUAAGUAAAUACAGGGAUAAAGGCUCACCUAUCAGUUUGGAUGAUAUCUUUAGUAUAAUUUCCUCAGUUCCAAAACUAUAGUGUAGCCCUAGGUUCUAAAGGGUCACCCAUCAGACACGAUUGAUACCUUAGUCCUUUCAGAUAUAAGUUUAGUAUAUCCAUGUCAGACAGUAUUCAUACCCUUGGCAAGGUGUUGAGCACAGUUUUAGCUAAGGUUAUAGGUUGGACCACGGUUAGCUCAGAUUGGGGUAUGUCAGUUAUUAAUAGCUCCCACGGUCCACAAUUCACAAUCUAUAGUUCAGAUUUAGAUAUUUGCAUAGCUUUGUAUUUAGUUAUUCAGUUUAUUAUACAUAACAUUUUCAUUACUUGGUAUUGCAUCCAUUUAUCAUAUUACGUGCAUCAUGAUUAGCCUAUAUCAGUUAUUUCCUAUUCACAUACCCAAUAUAUUCAAAGUACUAAUUGUAUACUUUCUUUGGCGCUAUAUUGUCUUAUAAUAUAGGUUUUGAUAUCCUGAUAUCCAAUAUGACGUAAAGGGGUUGUUUUGGGAUGUCAAAAUCUGAGGGUGUUUUGCAAAAAUGGCAAAACUAAGAGAAAUCCCCAAUUUAUUCCUUGCCUACCCUACUAUAGUGGGUGGAAAGUUGUUACCCAUACAUUUAUAUAGUAGGAUUUUUCUUGCUAUAGUAGGAGUCAACUUAGGUCAAUACUAAUAUAUCGGGAGGAUUCUGCAGUAAUGAAGCCAGUAUAGCAGGUUAAGGUCACUAUAAAGGGAUAUCGCUAAUAAAUAUAGAUAAAACCCAAAAAUAUUAUUUUUUAACAACUUUAAUUUUGCGGAAAAUAGGGAAAUUUGGGGGGAAAUCUACCUGUUUUCUAUCAAAAUUUAUUGUAAAGGGUGAGUUAACCCCUUCCAUUUAUAAGAUUUUAAAUUAUAAACUCAUAAAAUCACUAGUUUGGGGAUUUUUGAAAUGGACUUGACUUGACUUAACUAACCUUCCAAGUGCAAUUUGGUGAAUUGGGUUAAAAACCUUUAGAAUUUGGUUAAAAGUUGUUAAAUACACUUUCAUAAUUAUAAUUCACCAUUUUAACCCUAAAAUUGGUAGGAUUAAGGUGGAAUGAAGAUUGAAAACCAUAGAAUGGGAAGAACAAUUAGGAAUUUGGCCAUAGGGUUUUGGUAUUAGGUAAUAAUCCUCUAUAUGGUUUGGUAAUUAGGAUUAUUAUGUGUUUUAUUAAUCUUUUAGACCACAAUCAAGCCAAGGCUGAAAUAAAAAGCAAGGCUCAAGUUUGUUAUAUCAUUGAAAGCCUUUGAUGGGGAAGGUGAUGUUUUAAUAUCAUUGAAACCAAAUUUGACUUACGUCUGCAUGUUAAUAUUCUUAUUACAAUGCAUGUUCGAAGAAAGUAAAGGGUUAAAUGAUAUCCCUAGUGUUAAUUACAUGCAAUGAGGUUACAUCAAAAUCUUGAUAUUUGUACAAGUGUGAUUGUUGUUUUUAUUAUUAUUUUGAUUUUUGUGAUAUAUGUUGAUAAUUGUUGAAUGUACUGAUAUUUGGACAUAUUCAUGGAAUUAUCUUACAUAAAGUUGGAAGAAACUAGAUGUCUAGGAUUUUGGUACAUGGACAAGAGUUUGUCACCUACAGGUCAUGGCUAGUGGGUGACUAUAAGACCCUUAACAUGUGUGUACAAGGUAUUGGUAAGUGUAAUUAUUCCUUGAGUGAACCAGGUUUAUAUGUUGAUUUAUUUGUAUUGGUUCCUUGAGUGAACCAAGUCUAUAUGUUUACUUGUUAUUGUUAUGAUUGACUUCUUGAGUGAAGUGGGAUUCAUGAUUGUUAUUGGGGAUAUUUGGAUUUUUGUUACUUUCCUACUUUUUAUUAUUGAUAGAAAACUUUGACACAUAGCUUAUUUAAUGAAGUAACUAGCUUAUUUAAAAACUUGUCUAAGUGUUAAGUUUGGUUGGUUGCACUAAUUGGUUUUCCCACUAGAGUGUUAUUGUGUGUGUCACUCAUGAUAGAUUUAGAUAGUGACAAGUUGGUAUCACAUCCCUAUGUUUGUUAAUCUCGUUGUACCAAACGUGCCUAGUAAAGUCUUACAGAAUGGUAUGGAGACGUCUAUACUUUUAUUUAAGAGGCAUAGGACUUUAGGAAAUUAUCACCUUUUUUAUUCUUUCAUGUUAUAACUUUAUUUCAAUUGGUAUUUGGUGAUCUAAAUUGGAAUCCGACUUUUUAAUUUUUUAUCUAUAGCUGGUGAAUAUUUGACCUAAUAUAGCCAGAGCGACAACCAUCGCACUAAAGGCUCAAGAUAUGAAAUCAUCUAUUUGAGAUGGAUGAAAAAGAAGGGGAAAAGGGAGAGCAACACUCGCUAGGGGUGGAUCUCUGUCAAGACCAAAAUUGUUAUCAUUGGCACCCACCAUGUACUAUGGCAAGAGAACCAUGCUUAACCCAACCCUCACGAAUCAAGUUCAAUAGUCAAAAUUUACUUUCUACCGUUCUUGUCAUUAACAAAUUCUAAAACCCAAUUAUUCAAUAAAUAAGUAAAAAGUUCUAACAAUCAUCAUCCUCAAAUCACUAAUAGAGUGUGAAAAUUCUCUAUUUAUUAUAUCCAUGGUACCUUAAGUAAUAGUGAAAGAAAAACUAAGAAUAUUCAAGUUUAUAUCUAAGAGAUUAACUAAAAUACAAAAUAAAACAAGAGAGAGUCUUAGUCCCAAAAAAGGGACCUGAACAUAAAGUUGAAGAUUCAAUGGCGGUGUAAUCAUGGUGUUCACCCUUAAAUUAAAAUGUGGAACUACUAGCUAGAGUUGAGGAGUCAUCUCAAAUUCUAGAACAUGCUCUACAAUCAACAAAAAGAAUAGCACAUGUAGCAUCAGUACAUCAACAAGUACUGGUAGGAAUAAUAUGUCGACUCAUCUUAACACCAAACAAAUAAACAAACCAAAUAAAUACAAAAAUAAUCAUCACAAAACUCAUAAUCAAUGAAAGUACAUAUUUAUGACACCACUUUUGGUAGCAUCCAGACUAAUAUUUAUUAAUAAUUACACGUUAUUAAUUUUAGCAAUAAGUUGCAUCACAACAUAUAAUUAUAACUAAUUAUUCAAUGUAUAUGAAUAAAUGUAUGAAUACAAGAUGUGCAUAUCAUCUCUUUCUUUUAUCAAUCUCAUCAAUGUCAUUCUAAACAUCAUGAACAUCAUGAUUUCAAUAUCAUCAUCAUCAUAAUCAACUCAUGAUCAUCAAUAUCAUAAACAACAUUAUGAAUAUCAUGAUUUCAAUAUCAUCAUCAUUAUGAUCAACUAAUAAUCAUCAAUAUGUAUGAAUAUGCAAAUGUAAUUGAUAAUCACAAGUACUGUUCAAAAGAAAUCAUAAAUUUCCAAUUCACAUAUAAGCACAUGGUCAAGCAAGUUUGAUUAGUAGAAUAAAUUGUAACUUACCUUAAUUCCUCUCUCAAACUUGGUCUAGGACACUAGCUUUCCUUUUCUAACUCUUUCACCUCAUUCUCGAUCUAUAACAACAAGAUUACAUAUCUAAUUUAAUCAUUCUAUCUCUUUCUAACCAUAAUGGAUCAAUAAUUAACAAUUUUAAUCAUGAAAUUACCUUAGUUCAUUAUCUUAGAAUUUUCUAUCCCUAAAACCUCAUGAACUCUACUUUAUUUAGCAUGAACAACUAUGAUUCUACUCCAAAUAGUGUUUUCUAAUGCCCUAGAAUCAUUACCAAAUUAUUUUAAACUCAUUCCCACCAAUUUGUAUUAAGUUCAUAAAUUAGGACUAAGCCCUAAUUUCCACCAUAAAUAAGAUUCUAAUGAUUUUCAAUAAUUAUAAGAAGUACUUUAAGUUUAGAAUGUAAAAAACUUAUCUUCAAUAAUGAAAACUUCUAAAAAAAAUUCCUCCCCUAGGGCCUUAGUUUAUUUGUCAGAAAGUGGGGAAUGCAACAUGUUUCUAGUUUCAAAAGCUGUCGAAACUACUUUUUUAUUGUUGUAGUGGUGUAGUUAAAAUUGUAGAGGUGAAGUUACCAUUGCAACAAUUGCAACUAAUUAUAGGCUAUCAAUGCAGUGGAACUUUUUCUAUUGUAGCGAUACCACUUUAGUGAUAUCUUUUUCUGUUGCAGCAGUCCUGUGAUAGAAUCUUGAGGCCUCUCUAUAAUUGGGUCCAUUUUACAAUAAAUCUUGUGAAAUACAAUGUUACUAACCAACUCUUACAUAAUAAACUCUGGAGUUCUAUAACUUUGUUUUAGGUGGAAGUUGUUGCAGCUUUAUAAACUUAUUAUCUAUCUAAAAAUCAAGUUAAAUACACCUACCAAUGCUCUUAACACUACCAAAUUUUAGUAGACCAGCACACCCUAAAAAAUUAUCUAAAACUAAGCUAGUCUUGGAUUUCUUAAAAGUUCUCUAAGGAAAGACUAGGCAAAAUUUAUACCUCUUAUUUAAGUGUAACAAAGAUUUGGGUCAUUACAUCAGAUACCAAUUCACCACUUGUUCAUUGCCAAAUGACAAUUAGCUUAAAAUGGCAUAGCUAAGUAAGGGAAAAAUACAUGAGUCAAUGAAAAAGUGUUGAUAUUGCUAGGAUAUAUCUGCCUCUCUCCCAAGGUGCUUCUUCAAUAGGGUGGUUCCUUCAUUGAACUUUUUACACAAAGAAUUACUCUGGUCCUCAACUUUCUCAUGUCCCUAUUCAACAUAGCAAUUGAUUUAUCUUCAUAAGAUGACUCUUUUUCAAACAAAUUAGGGUCCUAAUGAAUAAUUUAAUUACCAUCUAUGUGAUACUUCUUUAACACUGAUAGAUAGAAUACUGAGUGAACCCCAAGCAUUCUAGAAGGUACGAUCAAUUUUUAAGCUACUUAACCCACUCUCUUGAACAUAUCAAUGAGUCUAAUGUAUCUCGAACUCAACUUAUCCUUCUUUCUAAAAUGCAUAACACCCUUUAUGGGUGAACUUUCAAGAGUACCUUUCCCUCUUUUCAAACAUCAUAUCUCUCAACUUAUUAUCCACAUACUUUUUAGUUUGACUUUGAACUACUAUGAGAUUUUCCUACAUAAUCUUACAUUUUGUAUCGAUUCCUUGAGUAUGCCAGUGCCCCUGAACUCACUUAAUAUGCAUUAAACUAUCUGAUUAGAGACCUAUAUCUUCUACCAUAAAAGGCUUCAAAAAAAAGUCAUGUCAAUACUAGAGUGGUAGCUACUAUAAUAAGAAAAUUUUCACAAAGGUAGAUAUUUGUCCCAUUGACCUUUAUAGUCCAUAACACAUGCCUGAAGCGUGCCCUUAAGCUUUGAAUAGUACUUUCCAAAAGCUCAUCGGUCUGUAGAUGGAAAGUUGUGCUCAAGUCCAAUCUAGAAUAUAACUCUAACUAAAGCUUCUCUAAAUAAUUGAUGGUGAAAUGAGUACCUUAGUCUGACACAAUCAAAAUAGGUUCUAUAUGGAGCCUUAUAAUCUCCUUGACUUAAAUUUUGGCUAGCUUAGCCACAAUAUAAUCUACCCUUACUAGAAUAAAAUAAGCCAGCUCAAUCAAUCAUUUAAUAAUAAUACCUAUAGAGACAUGCUUCAUCAAGGUCUUAGGAAGACUAGACAGGGCAUCCAUGAUUAUAUAUUCCCACUUCUAUUUUAGAAUAGUAACUCUUUGAAAGGUUUCACUAGGUUUCUAAAGCUCAUACUUAAGCUGUUGACAAUUUUGACAUAUAGACACAGAAUCCUUAAUAUUAUAUUUCAUUCUUCACCAUUAAUAAUGUUGUCUCAAGUAUCUAUACAUCUUGUUUGCACCCAAGUGUUUCGAUUACAUAGAGCUGUGAGCCUCCAUAAGGAUGGCAAGAAUCAGAUAACUCACACAAGGCACACACAAUCUCCCCUGAAUCCUUAACACUCCAUUAUCAUCAAGGACAAGUUCUCUAGCUUUACUCUAUAACACUUUUUAUCUGAGGUUGCUCAACUUCUUAUGUUUGAACUAUCUUCUUUUGAUUUGGCCGAAAGGUGUAGACCUAACUUCUACAUAUGCUAAUACUUCUUGUUUACUAGUCUCAUGCAAUCUUAAAAACACAAAGACCAUACCUCUCUUUCUAAUAGAUGCAAUCGACACAUCCAACCGUGCUACACUUUUUAUGCUUACUAGCUUAUAUCACAAUGUAUCUGACACUACUUUGGACUUUCUUAGAUGAUAUAAAAUUGAGAUGUCAUAGUCCUUGGUCAACUUUGUCCACCUUAUCUAUCUAAGGUUUAAGUCUCUCUAGGUGAACACAUGUUGCAAGGUAUGGUGGUCGGUAAAUGAUUCAUAUUUCACACCAUAAAAAAAAAUGUCUCCAUAUCAUUAAUUCAAAGACCAUAGCUACCAACUCCAAGCAUGUAUGGGAUAGAUUUUCUAAUAAGGCAUUAGUUUCCUCAAAGAAUAAACAAAUACAAAUUGAUCCUUCAUUAAAAUAACACCUAAACCAAACCGUAAGAUAUCACAAUAUAUAAUAAAAUCCUUACAUUCAAUAGGCAUGGUAAGAAUUGGGGCUGAGGUUAGAAAAUCCUUAAUCUUUCGGAAGCUCUCCUCAUGCUUGUCAUCCCACACAAAUGUGUCUUUUUUUCAGGCAGAUCAUAUGUGAAGUAAUAUCAGUAAACCCCUUAAAAAUCUACAAUAAUAAUUGGCCAACCCCAUAAAACUAUGAAUUUCUAUCACAUUCAUUGACCUAUCCCAACUCUUGAUCACUUCCACCUUGUGUGGGCCUACCAUAACCCUAUCCUUAGAGUAAGCUAGUAUGUCAGCAAUAAAAAUUAUAGCAAAUGAAUACAAGAGUAACUUAAAGACCACAUCCAUCAGACUCAUAAAAGUAGUUGGGCAUUGGUCAUACCAAAAAACAUGACUAGAAACUCGCAUUACACAUAAAAAUAUUUGAAAAAAAGUAUUUUGGAUGUCCUCUACCCUAAGCUUGAGCUGAUGAUAACCUAACCUCGAUCCAUUUUAGAGAAAAUUAUAGCUCUCUACAACUAGUUGAAUAGGUCAUCUAUUCUAGGCAAAGGAUAUUUAUUGUAAAUAGCUACUUAGUCUAUACACAUCAUUAUACUACCAUCAUUCUUUCUCACAAACAAGAUGGGGCAACCCUAAAGGAAAAUAUUUAGGGGAAUAAAUCCCUUCUCUAAUAAUUCUUAUAAUUGAGAUUUCAACUUUCUCAACUUUGUUGGUGCCAUAUGAUAAGAAAGGUUAGAGAUGGGUAAAUUCCAGGAUUUAAAUCUAUAUAGAAAUCAAUCUUACAAUUUUGACGCAUACCAAUAAAGCCAUCACGAAAUACUUUUAAGAAUUUACACACAAUUUAGAUUGAGGCAAUAGAAGGAACUACAAAUUUAUCUUCCCAAAGAUGAUCUAAAAAUGCCCUACACCCCUUAUUUAUUUAUUCUUGGGCAUGAAUAGCUGACAUAAUCCAUAUAGGAGUAGGUUUAAAGUACUUUCCCACUGUAAUUUCUCUAUCCCAUACUUUUUAUAGUGAUGGUUUUAGCAUAAACAUCAAGAAUGGCACGAUAAGAAUAUAACCAGCUCAUCUCUAAGAUAAUAGAAACUUCUCCUUAUCUAAAAUUAAAAGGUUUCUAAAGUUUUGUACCUCAUAAACAUCAUAGGGAAAGACUUAUAAACCUAAUCAGAACAUAUAAACACCCCAACUGGUGUAGAUAUAUACAUAAGAGUAUCAAGUGAUUCAUAAUCUAAGUCCGAAUCCAAAUAAAACUUCACAAACACAUAGGAGAAAGUCGACCCAAGAUCAAAUAAUACAAAAUCCAUAUGAUCACUAACAAGAAUAGUAUCUAUGAUCACCCUAAAUCAAAAGCUUCCACUUCAAGAUGAGCCAAAACAACAUAAAGUUAUGCUCUAUCACUGCCCAGGCCACCACCUCAACUAGCCUGAGCACCAUUCCUNNNNNNNNNNNNNNNNNNNUGACCUAUCCUCUACCAUUGUUGGAUUGGUUGCCACCCCUUCCUACAAACUAGCCACUAUACACACCUUGGUGAUUACCUUUACUAUCUCUUACACUACCAUGACCUACUGUAACUAGAGCACUAGAAGUUAUUUGUUGUCCACUAACCUAUAGACAAGAAAUUAGGGUAAUACCUACAAUGUGGCCUAAAACGCCAUACUCAUUCACCUAAUGCCCAAUGCAGGUAUCUAAGUUAAAGAGGAUAAAAGUGUAUAGCUGCCUAUUUGUGAAGGCUGAUAACUGACCCUUAAUGGGCCCUAUACGGACACAUGUAUUGCUGAAUUAUAAGACCAAGAAGAACCAGGACCUUUCCAAAAAGUACCAUUGAUUUGGCUUGUGGUCUGGGACUUCUUCUUCUCUUCUACUUUUGUUUCUCUCUGUCGUGAUAGUACCUCAGCCUUGUUAGUAAACUCAACUUUCUCCUAAAAAUAUUUACUAGAUGCAACCAAAAAUAAAAUAAAUAUCUAAUUCCCAAAAUUCAUACCAUUCAAAAAGUACCUCAUCCGCUCCUCUAAAGUGAUUAAAUAAAGUGCAUAAUAGGAUAAGGCAUAAAAUUUGGCCUCAUAGGCCACCACAUACAUGUCACCUUUUUCUAACCUCAAGAACUCAUCUUUUUUCUUAACAUGAUAAGCAUGAAAACAUGCUUCUCAAGAAAAGCAUUCUAAAAUUAUUCCUAAGUUAGUGGAGGUGAGGCAACCCUACACUCAAUGAAUGACCUCCAACAUUGUUUGUCUUAAGGCUAUAGUUGAAAAAAACAAACUCCACACCAUAUCUUUUAUCAAUACCCAUAUUAUGCAAGCAUUUAUGACAAUCCAAAAAACAUUUAAUAGCAUUCUCAAAUUUUAUACCUUGAAAUACUAAGGGCUUCAUGUUUAUGAACUUACAGAAAAGUCUAUGUUCAUCAUUAGUAAUCACCGAUCUAACUACCAGUCAGGGAUAUGCCCCUUUAUUUGAGCUCACAUCCAUCCUAGAUACAACAACAAUUGCAUGUUGUAAGGCUGGGGAUGGGAAUACUGGAAUAAAUGAAGUAGCAUCAAUGCUAUCCAAACUGCCUAAGUAUCCCAACACUUGUUGCAUUAAUCCUACAAAGGUACCUAGGUUGUACCAUAUUUUAUAGGAACUAUCUUUUCAAGGACCACUACUUCAUCCUUAGUUGCCACAUUUUCAUCCUGAACUAACUCCAGAGCAUCUUAUGGUGGGGAAGGGGAGAGGGUCAUUAUCCUAGCCGGUUCUCCAACUGGCCAUGCUUCAUCCAUAGUAGGUGUUACCCAUCUUUCUUAUUUUCUAUCCCUACCCAUCACGUGCAUUCUUCCUUGAACUAUAGCCUUAACAGCUUGUAUAGGUGCUACUACUUCUCUAAAUGAAUAUGUAUUCACUAUCAGUGGAACAAGAAUGGAGGAUUUAUAUACCAAUUUGGAUCACUAGAUACCAAAUAGAAUCAUGUAAUAGCGUGAAAUAAAAAAAUGAAAUUUUCUUUCCUAAAGCCUUGUAGCCUCUUAAAGAAAAGUACAGAUCUCUCCAUACCAUUAUAUAAGACUCUACUAGACCUAUUAUUGUACGAAGAUAUCUAUGAACUAAGUGCUUUGAUACUAUCUUUAUCAUGACCCAAACGAUCAUAAUUGUUACCCACAUACACAAUGGCAGGAGAACCAUGCCCAAUCAUCACUAAUCAAGUUCAAUAUUCAAUAUUCACUUUCUAUCAUUCUUCUCAUUAAUAAAUUCUAAAACCCUAUUAUUCGAUAAAUAAGUAAAAACUACAAACCAAGAAUGUUCAUGUCCCUCUCAUUGAUUAUUGUAAUACUUGGUUGUUAUUAUUUGUCAUGACCCAAACGAGGAACAAGCCAUGAUGGGUAUCUCAAGUCCAUCAAGGACUGGAUACUACCUCCUUUACCCUAGCCUACCAGAACAUAACACAACUAGCAGCAGAUGAAUUCCGAAUAUGUAACAAAAAAGGUAACUCAAUUAACUCAAACAAGAAUCUAAGAUUUUCAACAACAUCCCAAUCCACAGUAAUCCACAAGCCUCUAAGAAACCAACAUCAAUCUAAGUCAGGACAUGCCCCUGACUAUAGCCAAGAAGAAACAGAAUCAUAGUUUAUAAUAUAGUGAAACCAAAACAUGAAAUAAGAUUCUUUCAAAGAAUGGAGGCUUACCACUUCAAGUUGAUUCACGAUCGAUCCAUAAAUCACCAUAUCACUAUGCAAAAAAAUCAAAAGUAUCUCUAGUUCCUACAUCACGUGGGGAUAUAAUAUUCAUAGAUGGUUAGCAGGGUGAGCACUAGCAUGUAACUCAGGUAAGAGAUAAAAUAAUGGCAUGAUAAAAUUAGUUCAACAUCAUUCAAAACUAAUACACGCAAUCAUAUACCUAUGUAUAACAUGCCGAGAUAGAGAACAAAGUUUAGCAUAAAAGUAAGACAUUAGCCUGGACUAUGUAGCUCAAACUUUCAUUCAUACCCACUGGCUAAAUGGGUCUAGUACCCCCUACUAGUUGUUUCUAGCUCCUUCCCUGUUGGUUGAGCCCCAGUGCCUAUUAGCCACAUAAGCCAGAGAAACCUAAGGAAUAGUCAAAGCCAUCAACGCUACAAUCAUUCCAAAUUGUAUACAUGUAUGUAAUGUGUGAACUAUGCACACGGUCAUAAAUACCACCCCCCCACACUGGUAAAUAUGGUUUCCAAUAUCAAUCCCUUGGUACCUCCACCUUCAUGGAUCAGGUACACAACUCCUUUUAAGACCAAUUAUAAUAUUUACACAUUCCCAUUUAUUAAAUUAAGGAUCAUUCAUUUAGGCACAUACCAUUGGUAUCGUAAUACCAAUUGCACUUUCAAGCUUAUAAUUAUGCCAUAGCAAUUCCAUCAACUUAGGGGAAUGCUAGAAUCCCCUUUAUUCAUUAAAGUCAUGGCUCCCUUUGUUCAUUAAAUCAAGUUUAAAAUCAAAAGCAUAGCUAACAAGGCCUUCAAACCCCUUUAUAUCUGAUUAACCAUUUAUGCAAUACCAUAGUUUAGGGAAGUAAGACAAAUCAUAUGAUUAACCAUGUUUCAAAUUCAAUUAUGUAAGUGGGUUGAGGGAACAUAAUUUCUAAAACUAAGUUCCAAACCAAAAUCAUCAAAUUGGGGGAAUGACUUGACCCCCUCUCCAAUUUCUAUACCCAUAAACCCAAUUAGUUCAAAAACCAUUGAUAAAGCACAAACAAUGCAUAUAAAAUCAUGGGAAUUCAAUUCAAGUAACAUUCAUUCCAAAAACCUCAACCCAUAUCAAAAUCUAUAUUCAAAUCCACAUGAAUAACCAUUUAAACACAUGAUUUAAGUAAAAUAAGUUUAAGGAAAGAGUACAUGCCUUAGAUAAUCAAGAAUUAUGGAGAGAAAUCAAUGAUAGAAGCUUUAAUGGCCAACCCUUAAAAACUUGAGCUUAUUCUUGCUUGAAGAGUUAAAGACAGAUUGAGAAGUAUAUUUUGAUCUAUUCUGAUGUGAUAAUAAGACACCAAAUAAGUUUUAAAUCAUGUUUCAUAAUUGGGAAAGAGGGGAAAUUCCAAAGUGCCCCUUAAUAAAACACUAAAGACUCAUUGCCCAAUCAUUAUGGGUCACCUUACGACUCGUAAUAAAAAAUUAUGAGUCAUUCCCUAGACUUGUAGUCAGGGUAGUGUCCCAAGGCAACACUACACUGGUGAGACUAUGAGUCCUAUAUUAUGACUCAUAAUAUCUGACCAUGACUCGUAAUGUCUUAAUUGUACCCGAGAUAAAAAAAAAUUUAGUGCCUACACUGGUCACCUUAUCAUUUGUACAUUACAACUCUAUGGAGUUAUCACGACUCAUUUUAUCCCAGUCGUACCUAUAAUAGAACCAAGAGCACCCUUCACUGGUCACCCUACCACUUGAGCCCUACAAUCUAUAAAGAAACCUUAUGAAUCAUUAGGGAAGCCGUAGUCUGAGCAAUAGGAUCAAAUCUCAAAAUUUUUAAAGGUCAAAAUUUUAGGUUGUUACAUGUUCCUGAGUGAUAGAGGUAUAUUGGGUUGGUAAUAUGACUUGUAAGCUAGUUGUAAGUUAAAUGAGUAUAGCUUGUCUAUGGGUGAUAACUAAAAUCUUAUUGGUUAUGAAUGAUUAAUGUUGAGUGCAUCAUAGAAUAUAUUAAGAGGUGGUAGAGAAGCUAUCUAUUAAUUAUAUCGAGAGUGAUGUAUUGGUUAGUUGUUGUACUAUAGAUGAUCUAUUCUUAUGUGUUGAUCAUGAAAGGGUGAAAAGGGUCACAAGGUAGACAUCUCAAGGGGGAAACAUAGUGUAGUACUUGUUGAUUUUAUAUUCAUUAUAUCAUUGUUUAGGGUGUACUUUCUUGGGUUAAGAUUUUUCUCUGUGUGGGAGUUAGAAGUUUUAGCUUAGACUAGUCUUAGACAAAAUCUUAGUGAGGUAUGGUCUAGAAAAAUCUGGGAGAAUAUUGGGUAGAUAUAAUGAAGUUUAGCUUGAUUUUAUGUUAGCUAAUAUGAUAAGGAACCCAUAGGAAUUGUUGGAAUAGAGUUUGGGUCUGUAGAACUCUAGAUAUAGAGUUUAAUGUAACGGGCUUAGUUUGAGAUGUCAGAAAUCUGAGUAUUGAGCUGUGAAAAAUGAAAGACUGGGAAGAUUACCAAGUUUUUACCUUUGCUAUAGCAGAAUAAUUCCCUCUAUAGUGAUGUCGCUAUAGCUAUAUUGGGCUUCUAUAGAGGGAUUGAUGUAGUAAUUAUUUAGCUUUCUCUGACUUUAGACAUUACUUCGUCAUAAACUCUCAAGGUUUCAUUCUUAGACUGAUGAGGUAAAUAACAAUUCAUUUUUCUAUUCAUACAAUGACUAUUUGGGGAUAAACUGAUAGUAAAUUAAUAUCUAAUAUAACAAUUGGUUUCGUUAUUAUUAAAAAUAUCUGCGACAAAGGUAUACAAAACUCAUUCAUCAUAUGUGUUAGGAUCAAUUAUUUUGUAUUAGAGCUCAUUUGAUAUAUACUGAAGUCAUAAAAUACCCCUAUCACAAAGUUAAGUUGAAAGUAUCCUUGUUGAUUUAGUUACGUGUUAAGUUUAAACUAGAAUCAAAAUCAAACAAGAACUCCUAGAAUAUAUGGAAUUAGGGGUCCUAAUAUCAUACAUAUUAAAGAUCUCUAAGUAUUAUUGAUAAUACAACCAACUUCUUAUCAAUCCGCUUCCUAUGUAAAAGGUUAUGACCAUUUUACUGAAGACUACCCAUACUGAAAAAUCUUAGAGCGCUAUAGCAGGUCGGGUUACUAUAGCGACGGCAUAUCACUAUAGCGACACUAAAGUAGUUUAUAACCUAUUUUGACAAUUUUAGCCCCUAAAACCCAAAAUUACAUUCCUAAUCCCUAGAGAGGUAAUUUUCUUUUUGUACGAGUGAUAUUUCUUUGUUGAGUUAAGUUUUUUUCAUCAUCUUUUUCAUUUUUUGAUAUUUUAACAUCCAAGAAUCAUUAGAACAACCUUUAAUGGUGAAAUUCUAGGGAAAUUGAACCCUAAGUCCAUGAUAUUUUGGGAAAAUAAUGGGUUGAGUUAUCAUCACCUAGAAUCACUUCUAAAUUGUUAAUUAACAAUUCCUAGCAUGAAUUAGUGAUUCUAAAAUAUGAAAAUUGAUAGUUGGGGACCUCGAAUUCAAUAAAAGUAGAACCUUUAGCAUAUAACCUCUAUUAAUGGAGUUGGGUUGAGCUUGAAGGAAUUAUUUUAAUGAUUAAUUAACCCUUAGGUAAUUUUAUAGACCAUAAAUAAGGGUAGAACUAGUGAGUUUUUAUUCCAAAGUAUUCAUAUAAAGAGCAGUUUAUUAAUUACUCUUAUAAUUGUUGUUUGUUAGAUUAUUAGCACUCGAAAAAAAUGAAGAAGAAGGAGGUUCAUUUGUGUUAUAGCUACUUGUUGCAGUAGCUUGGCACCUAGGUAGGUUAUGGUUUAUAAAUAGUGACUGUGGUUAGUAAUCAUGUCCAAAUAUAGAUUUGAAGAGGGAAAUCAUGCUUAGUCUAUUAAGGAUUUAUACAUUAACAUAUCAGCAACUAAUUAGGUCCUUAUUAAGAAUAAAAUAUUAAUUUAAUGUAAUAAGGACCUAAUUAGUUGUUGAUAUGUUAAUGUAUAAAUCCUUAAUAGACUUUUUGUGUUUGUGUAACUCAAUGGUGGAUCAUAAUAUGAAUUAUGUGAAUAUUGUUGUCAAUAAGAUGGUGUGAGAUCAUAAUUAAGUUAUUUAGCCUAAUCACCAUAAGAAGGUGAACUUGGUAUUAUGUGUGGUUGGAAUAUGGGAUAAUGUUUCUUAAGGUUAUUGACAAGGACUGAUUAUGGUAUAAGGAGGUAGUAACUUAACUUAAGGGCCUAAGGUCAAGUUAGGCUAAGAGUUAGGAAGUAAAAGGUAUAAAAGUGUAAGACAAAGAUAUAUUAUAAGUUGAAUAGAGUUGAAUGAUUAGCUAAUAGAGUAGGUCUUAAACCUUGUAACCACUUGAAUGUAAGGGUUGCUAACUAAUAACAAAAUCCUAAUUUUGGAAUGAAUAAAGGGGGAUUGGAUUAAUGAAUGACUUAUAAGAUUUUAGAGUCCAUUUUGUUGAAUGUGUGCUCCAAAAAUAACUUAUUGAUUUUAAUGAAUUUGGCUUGAUAAUUCUUACGUGAAUAAGCUAGGUAUUGGUCUUCAAACAUGCUAUAACUGAUGAAACCAAGGAUUAUAUAUACUUGUGAUUUAGUAUGUUAAAGUAUGAUUGUUGUUUACAUGUAUUGAUUAACUCAAGUUGACCAAGCAUAUAGGUAGUUAUCCAUUAUUGUAAUGAAUACUUAAGGACUGAAAUUGAUAAUGACAUCCUAAGUAUUAAUCACAUAUAUAAUGACGUUGUAUUAAUAUCUUUUUGAUUGUAUAAGUAUGAUUGCUUAUUCUCAUUUUGGUUGUGAUUGUUGUAAUAUCAUUUAAUAUUGUGGGAUGUUCCAGAAUUUGGACAUCUUCACAGGAGUGGUUGAUAUGCACAUUAGUUUUCUCGAGUACCAUGCUGGUAUAGUACAUGGAAAAGAGCUCAUUCCCUGUAGAUCAUGACUAGCGGGAAACCAUAAGACCCUUAGCAUGUAUGCACAAGGUAUGUAUGAGUGUGAUGGUUCCUUGACUGGAUGGGUAUACGAUUAUUAUUAUUAUUAUUGUUGUUGUUGUUGUUUAUAUUAGUUCCAUGAGUGCACCAAGUUAUAUUGUGGUUGUUGUUGUGGGUUUUUUAUGUGACUAGAUUAUGAUGUCGCUUGAUAUAUUUGGAAUUCUUUUGUGGUCGAGUUACUUGUCAUAUAUUUUUGGAUACUUGUUGGUAGAUUCAUGGUGUGUUGACUUAGUAUGGAUAGAGUCAUGGUUUGUUGUCUUUGAUAUUGUUAGAGUCGAGGUUGUUGAGUUGGUCAUGGUUUGACUUGACUUGUUGUCACUUGAUUUGUACUUGACUAAAGUUGUAGAGUUACUUGAAAAGGCUAAGUCUCAUAAAUUUAAGGUAUUUAUCAUAAUGUGUGUUCAUAGUUUUAUUUUUUACAAGGCGAUGAUUAUUAAUCAUAUACCUUGAUAAAUAAUUAUUUGGAUCAAACCCGUGAGAGUUAGGAUGGAUGACACUUGAUGUGAAGGUGAUAAAUGAUCAACGGGAAUAAGAAUGGAAAUACUCUUUGUUAAAAAAGUGAUAAGGAUAUCAUAAAUAGUUGAAGAUGUUACGAAUUAAUUGAUAUAUAAGUUAUCAUGUUUUCUAUGAUUCGUGUAUUGUCUUUACAUUAUCUAACCAUUGUCGACCGAUGAUACUUUCCAAUACGUGUUAUUUAUUUUAAUAUUACAUUUGCUAUAGCCUUUUUGGGGUAUACUAUUUUGUAGGAAUCAGUGUUGGUUUCAUGAGUAGAUAGUGAUCCUUCAACAGCUUCUACUCCUCUCAUUUAUGGUGGAAGAUUGUGUUCAAUUUUAUCGUUCUUGAUUUAGAAGCUCUUGUACAUAUUUAGACUACUUUCUAGUUGUAUUUUACAUUUUUACACCUAAUAUUUGUAAUAAAACAGUUGUAAUAAAGUUUUGUUAUUUCUAUUUAAUAAAGGCUUCUGCAUGUUAUAUUGAACAGGUGAUAAGGGGUUCUCCUAUCUAGGUGGAUUAGAGAAGGUGCCCUUAUGAUCCAAUAGUUUGGGUUGUGACAUGACCAAUGUGUACUAUGUUUGUUCUAUCUUAUAUGUUUCCAGAAUUGGGUAAAUUUCAUAAUCAUAGAUAUGCUUGAUUUUGAUAGCACUCUUGUAUGUCUUGGCUAUCUCUAUAUUAUGUUUUUCAAAAUUAUUAUGCUAAGACUGUGACUUUAGAGAUGCCAAGGAUAGAAAAGUUAGAUUGUGAGAGUGUGCAUAACCCAAAAACUAUGAAAGUCUUUUAUUCAGGUUAAGAAGAUAGUUGGGAAAGAGUGUUCGACCAUGCUAUCACAUCACUGAGAUGUUAGUACAAAAUAUUUUUCUCAGUUCUUGUGGUAUCAAAUAGAUGAUCUUUUUAAGCAGUUAUAGGGUGCUUUAGUUUCUCUAAGGUAGACUGUGGACGGGUUACCACCACUUAAAUAUUCAGACUGAGGACAUACCCAAUACACUAUUUAGGACUUGGUAUGGGCAUUACAAGUUCUUUUUCAUGUCAUUUAGCUUGAAUAAUGUGAUAAAACUUUCAUGAGCGUGAUGAUGUUAUCUUUGAGUGUCUCUUUGAUUCAUUAGUGAUUGUUUUUAUUGAUGAUAUUUUGGUUUACUACAAGAGUAAAGGGUAACAUGCAGGUCAUCUUUGCAUUAUUUUGGAGAUUUUAAAGAAGAAAUAGUUAAAUGAUAAGUUCUCUAAAUGCGAAUUUUUGAUAUCUUUUGUUGCUUUUUUGGGGCAUGUUAUAUUAGAAAAGGGGGUGAUGGUAGAUCCCCAAAAGUUAGUUACUCAUGGGUCUUAUCAAGAAUUUCAUAGGCUUAUCAAGAAUUUCAUAUCCAUUCCUACUCAUUUGAUAAGGAUGACUUAGAAUAAGGUGUCAUUCAUAUGGUUAGAUAAGUGUAAGGAAAGUUUUCAAAAGUUCAAGCCUCAAUUGACUACAUCCCAUAUUCUUUCCUUGCAAUUAAAGGUAAGGACUUUAUUGUGUUUUGCAAUACUUCAUGCUCUAAUUUGGUAUUGUGUUGAUGUAGGACGUGAAUAUGAUUGACUAUGAUUCCAUGCAACUAAAGUCUCAUGAGAAGAAUUAUCCAACCCAUGACUUAGAGUUGGCAUCAGUGGUUUUUGCACUUAAUAUUUGGAGACACAACCUUUAUGGUGUCAAAUGUGAGGUGUUUAUAGAUCAUCACAGCUUUCAACAAAUUGUUACCUAGAGUAUUUGAACUUGAGGCAGAGAAGGAGGAUGGAAUUGUUGAUGGAUUAUGAUUUGACCAUUCAAUUCCAUCCUUGCAAGGCCAAUAUGGUGGCUGACGCAUUGACUUGGAAAUUAGUAUGUAUAGGUAGUCUGGAUUAUUUAAGGGUGUUAAGGUGACCAUUGUCUAAAGAGAUUAAAACUAUAGGAUCACAUUUCUUUCAGUUUAGUUUUUCUAAAUACGGUGGAGUAUUGGCUUGUUUUGAUGUAAGGUCAAUGUUCCUUGAUCAAAUCAAUGCCAAGCAGUUUGAAGAUGUGAAUUUGAAUAAAGUUUGGAACAAUGUGGUGUGUGGUGAAAAUUCUAAUACUGCACUUAAUGUGUAUAAGGUAUUGAUGGUAAAAGAAUGCAUAUGCAAACCUUAGGAUGGUGAUCUAAUUUAGGGUUUGCUUGUAGAAGCUCAUGGUUUUUACUACUCUAUUCAUCCGGGUACAGUCAAGAUAUACUGUCACUUGAGACAUCUCUAUUUGUAGCCCGAGAUGAAGAGAUAUAGUAAUGUAACGACCCAAAAUUGCCUCCCGGGACGUCACACGGAGCUUAAGGCUACAAGUAGCCCUAAGCAAACCCUUUGAGCCUGCUUCUACUAAUAAUACUCAUUUCAAGAUAAAAUCAUUCAAACACUAGCACGGUCAUAUCAUAUGAAGGGAGAUACGGAGAAAAUACUCGGUCCAAAUGACCACAAUACUGGAAUUCUCAACACAAUCACAAUCUGACAACUAGUCUGACAAAGCCUCUACUAAUCCAUGAACUAGAGAGUCGUUAGGACAGUCCCCCAACUGACUCGAAAUGAACUGAAAGUAAUAACAUAGUCUCUCAAAUGCUGAAAUGUCUGACGAUAGGUCCUCGAAGCAUGACGACUCACCACUGUAGGAAUGUAGACAGAGGUACUCGGAAGUCACUGACGAGGCUGGGACUGAGCACCUGAACCUAUAUUAUAAGACAAUGUAGCACAUAGACGUAUAUGUGGAUCAGCACUUGGGAUUAUACUGAGUAUGUGGGGGUACAUGCAUUUAUAUAAAACAACAUCAAUACUCUUUAAUCAAAUCAUGCAUGCAAUAAGUAAUGACUCACAUGGAUUGAAUAAACAUAAAAUGUAAAGCUCAUGAAUUAUGUAGAAUGGUCCAUGUAAUACAAAUCUCGUGAGUCAUCAUAGUUUAACUUUGAAAUCGGUAAUCUUCUCUUAUUCUCAUUACCCAUAGGCUAAAGGAAACUUUAAACAAUACUUUCAACUCAUUGAUAUGUCUCAUGGAGAGUAAAACUUCCUUAAUGCUCAAGAACUCAAGAACUUAUAACUCUUUUGAACUCAAGUACUUGGAAUUCAGAAUCAUAUAACUUUGAAACAUACUUGAAGGCAUUUCAUUCACUUUAGGAAAAUAUCUCACUUCAAGCUUUAGGGAAAUCAUUCUAUCUUAAUGGAAAGAUUUUCUAGUUUAGAGAAAUAACUUAUCUCAUAGUUUUAGAGAAAAUACUUAUAUCAAGGGAAAAUACUUUAGUCUUAGGGUGAAAAUCUUCAACUUUACUAUUAGGAAAAUAACUUGUAUCAAGGGAGGUUCUCAUAACUGACAUAAACCAUGAGAGCUAUAUAGAGUACAACAUUUUGUCCGCUUACGAAAAAGACCCCACGUUGGGGAGGAGCGUCAUACUCUUGCCAGGGAGUAUAACCUCAAUUCAGUGAUCAUUUAUCUCAACCUCGGGCCCAAUAUCUCAGCCUUAGGCCAAAAAUCUCAAACCUACAGUGGCACGUAGUUCUGGGGUAAGAAACUGUAGUAACUUACACAACUCGGUGCUAAAUACUACUCCCUUUAGUUUAUCUCGCUCAUCUUAUGAAAAUCCACUUUAAAAUAGUCUCAUGGUUCAUCAAGAACCCAACAAUCAAAUCUGUAAUCUCAUAUAGUGAAGUGAAUUUCAAAACUCCAUUACCAUUAGGUCAAAACAUUUCUCAAUAAUCUCAGAAUACUCAAAGCAUGGGUGUUUAUAAAACAAGAGUUCAUAAAAUUGCAAAUCUCAAGUAGGGCUCAAUAACCCAUAAUUCAGUCUCAAGUUAAAACUCAUCAAAAGCAUAAUAGAUAGCAUCUACAUUCAUAACUCAUGUAGAAAUCUGGAAAUUUCUGCAAUUUGUCUCAAAAUCUCAACAUACUCAUAUACUUCAGUAUCUAAAUAUUUCAACUAUUAAUUUCUCAAGGAUUAAAAUCAUGAGGUAUAGACCCAUCUGCAAUUUCUCAAGAAAACAUGUAAAAAUCAUGCCAUUAGACUCUAAAUUCAUGGGAAACAUCAAAAUAUUGCAAUCAAUAAAAAUGGAUGAAAACCCCUAAUUCAAAUUCAUGUAAAAUCUCAUAGAUUACAGAAAAUCAUAGUUUAAAUAAGCCUUUGAGCACAAGGAUGAAAGGAUUACCAUUGUUCAAAACCCCACAUACCUUUGAUUAUGAAAUUGGAUGAACGAGCUUGCUCUAAACUCUUCUUCUUACUCUUGAGAGAGAGAGUUCUUGAACCCUUUGAACUUGGGGAACUUAAUUUGUAGAAUCCAUGAUGAGUUCUUAGAUUUCUUGGAGAAGGGUUUUAGAUUUGCUCUUGAGGGAGAAACCCUAGCCUUUGGAUGUUUUGGGAGAUAAUGAGGCUAUCAAGUUCGUUUGGAAUAUAUCUGAGGGUUAAAAAGGAAAAGAAUCAAAACCCCUUUUAAAAAGGACUUAUAAACACGGAAGGGUGUUGCGACGGUCGAAGUGAUGGUCCGUCGCUAACCUGACGGUCCGUCGGGUCGUCCAUCGCUCGCUGGUCAAAAAAAGAACAUACUGCCUCAAUGUGACGAUCGAAGCGACGGUCCGUCGCUCAACUUGAUGGUCCAUCAGAUCGUCCAACGCACAUUGCCAAGAUGAGGUCACACUGCCUGAGCGCGACGGUCCCAGCGACGGCCCAUCACAACCUUGAUGGCCGGUCAUUUUGCCUGUCACACUUUAGCCAAAAAAGAGAGUCAUUUCCUUGGUUGUCGCAGACUCAACGGUCCAUCAGAUCGUCCGUUGCACCCGGGCGGUUCCAACAACUCUUAGUAAAACGGCCAUAACUUCUCACCCCGAUGUCGGAUUUGGACGAAAUUGGUUUCGUUGGAAAGCUAAUUCAAUUCUCUACAUGACAAAAAGUUAAAUUUAAGAAAAUUAUAUAUGGUUUAAACACAAAUCACUUGGGAAGUCACUUUUCAAUCUUUUAGGGCUAGAAUUACACAUCGCCUGACAUGCUCUAAGGCUCAGACUACGAGGAAACUUUGCAGGGUCUUACAAUAUCUCCCCCUUGGAAACAUUCAUCCUCAAAUAUUUCUAGUUAUAAUAGGAACAUGGGAAAACAGAGUUCACAUAGCUAAAGCAAGUUGCUAAAACGGGUUCAAAAUCUCUCUAAACUCUAGAAUGCCUAAGAAAUUGCAAGAACUCAUGCAAGAACAGAUACAUAUAGCUGAACUUUAGAUUAGAAGGGAUGAAUUAAGGAAGAAUAAUACCUUCAUAUUGACUAAACUCGCUAAAAAGAGGUGCGGGUACUUGACUCGCAUGUCUACUUCUGCCUCCCAAGUAGCGCCCUCAACUGACUGGUUCUGCCACAAAACUUUGACUAAGGAAACCUCUUUGUUCCUCAAUCUACGGAUCUGAAAAUCUAGGAUCUCAAUAGGAAUCUCAUCAAAUGAAAGAAUAUUUUGAAUAUCAGCACUCUCUGAGGAAUUUACAAUAACAGAAUAACAAAUAUGCUUUUUAAGCAUGGAGACAUGAAAACAGGAUAAAUAGCUGAUAACUCUGCGGGAAACUCAACCUCAUAGGCUACUUUCCCAACAUGGCUCAAAAUUCUAUACGGGCUAACAUAACGGGGACUAAACUUUCCCUUUUUACCAUACCUCUUCACCCCUUUCAUGGGUGAAAUCUUCAAGUACACUAAAUCGCCUACUUCAAACUCAAGAUCUCUUCUCCUCACAUCGGCAUAUGAAUUUUGAUGACUCUGAGCUGUCUUUAACCUCUCUUUAAUCAACUUAACUUUCUCCAUAGCUUUAAAUAUUACAUCAGGCCCAAUCACGGUAGCUUCACCUACUUCAAACCAACUUAUGGGUGAUCUUCAUCUCCUACUAUACAAGGCCUCAAAUGGUGCCAUCCCGAUGCUAGCAUGGUAACUACUAUUAUAGGUGAACUCUAUCAAUGGCAAAUGCUCAUCCCAACUACCUUUGAAAUCAAGAGCACACACUCUCAACAUAUCUUCUCUAGUUUGAAUGGUCCUUUCAGCCUGUCCAUCUGUCUACGGAUAAAAAGCAAAACUCAAAAGAACUUGGGUACCAAGACCCUGCUGAAACGCCUCCAAAACUUAGAAUUAAAUUGAGUGCCCCUAUCCGAAAUGAUGGAUGAGGGAACUCUAUGCAGCCUGACUAACUCCCGGAUAUACAAUCUAGUAUAAUACUUAGUUGUAUAAGAUAUGUGCAUGGGAAAGAAAUGUGCAGACUUAGUCAGCCUAUCCACAACAACCCAAAUAGAAUCAUAAUGACGAUGCAAAAGAGGUAACCCAGUCACGAAGUCCAUAUUCACCACCUCCCACUUCUAAGUGGGUAUACCAAACUCUUGUAUCACACCACCAGGUCUUUGGUACUCAACCUUAACAUGUUGGCACGUUACACAAUUUACUACAAACUCGGCUAUAUCCUUCUUCAUACCAUUCCAUCAAUAGAUCUCCCGCAAGUUGCGGUAUAUCUUGGUAACACCGGGAUGAAUAGAAAUCGUGCACCAUGCACUUUAGCCAUAAUUCUCUACCUCAGAUCAUCAACACAAGAAACGCACAAUCUACCCUGCAAUCUCAACAUGCCAUCUCCCCCUUUGGUCCUUAACUGACUCCUUCAGUCUGACCAAACUAGGUUCUCUGUCUUGCAUCUCCUCCACUUCCGAAACUAAAGAGGAUUCAGAACUACUCUACACCAAAGUACUUCCCUCAGCUGGAUCAAGAAACCUAACACCCAAUCUAGCCAAAUAAUGCACAUCACGAGCUAACUCUUUCUUACCUUCCUCUAUAUGAGCAACAUGACCCAUAGACAAUCUCUAACUUUGUGGCCCUACUUGCCACAACCAAGACAGCCCCUCAAAUCUACAAAACAUUCACCAGGAUGGUCCCUACAACACUUAGCACAAGAAAGAUAAUGAGGCCUGUUACCAAUACUAUUCUAUGACCUAGACAUAAAAUACCUUCCCCCUUGCUCAUGCCUACCUCUAGGUGUGGGCACUAGCUGAUGAAGGCACUGGCAUAGACGGAUGUCUCUGAAACUAAGGGUGGUUCCCUCCAUGGAACCUAGGCUGGCUAAACUUAUGCUGCUCAGAUAUAGCCCUCUCGUUACCCCUCACUCUAUCUCUCUCUCUAAUUUUAUCCACCUCUAUCUACUGGGCAUGCCUCAUAAACCUAGCCAGAUCCAUAUCCCUAUGCAGUAUCGCAGUACUACACUCUUCAGUACCAACCCAGAAACACCGGUCACAAACUUACUCAUACUAGCCCAGGUGUCAGAAAUCAAAUCAGGAGAAUACUUGGCCAACUGGUUAAACUUCAAGAAGUACUCUUUAACAAUCAUAGAACCCUACCUUAAGUUUAUAAACUCCCCAAUCUUUGCCUCUCUCAUCUCAAGAGGAAAGAACUUGUCCAAGAAUGCAUCUUGGAACACUUGCCACAUCAUAGGAGCAGCAUUAUAACCUCUACUCUUCCUCCAUGAUACAAUCCAGUUAUAAGUUAUGUCUCUCAACCUGUAAGACGCCAACUCAACACUUUCAUUAUCAAAAACAUGUAUCACCUGCGUGAUCUUUCUCACCUCCUCAAGGUACAACUAUGGGUCUUCACCUGCCUUGGACCCAUAAAACUCUAGCGGAUUCAUUCACAUGAAAUCAUUGAUCAUAGAAGUAGCUACAUCACCUCCCUACUGAUUUGGAACUGCGGCAUGGUUAUUGGCCGGAACAUUAAUGGUGACUACCUGGGCUAAUGCCAGAAAGGCACCCCAAAACUCAGUAUGAAACAUAGUCCCAUUCAAAGGAUCAACAGGUGGGGGUUGCUGAUCAUCAUUUAUGCGGGCAUUCACUCUUUGGAGAGGUAUUUUUUGAAAUAAAAGAGCAUAAAUUAUUAGAUGAGAAGGACAACUGUAGGCACGAUAUAAUCUGAAAGAAAGAAAUAACUUUUUCCUAAAACUUCUUUUAGCCUUUUGCUCUUAGAUGUGGCGUGCUACACAUCGAGGAUCAAGACUCUACUCAACAUGGCUUCUCAAAAUCCCUAAGACUCCUUUAAAACCUGGCUCUAAUACCAAGUUUGUAACAACCCAAAAUCACCUCCCGAGAUGUCACACGGUGCUUAAGGCUACAAGUAGCCCUAAGCUAACCCUUUGAGUCUGCUUAUACUAAUACUACUCAUUUCAAGAUUAAACAAUUCAAACACUAGCAUAGUCAUAUCAUCUGAAGGGAGAUACGGAGAAAAUACUUGGUCCAAACGACCACAAUACUGGAAUUCUUAACACGAUCACAAUCUGACAACUAGUCUAACAAAGCCUCUACUAAUCCAUGAACUAGAGAGCCAUUGGGACAGGCCUCCAACUGACUCAAAAUAAACUGAAAGUAAUAACAUAGUCUCUCAAUUACUUAAAUGACUGAUGAUAGGUCCUCGAACCAUGAUGACUCACUACUAUAGAAAUAUAGAUAGAGGUAUUCGAAAGUAACUAACGAGGCUGGGACUGAGCACCUAAACCUACAUUAUAAGACAAUGUAGCACAUAGAAGUAUAUAUAAAUUAGCACUUGGGAAUGUACUGAGUCUGUAGAGAUGCAUGCAUUUAUAUAAAACAACAUUAAUACUCUUUAAUCAAAUCAUGCACACAAUAAGUAAUAACUCACAUGGCUUGAAUAAUUAUUAAAUGUAAAGCUCAUGAAUCAUGUAGAAUGGACCAUGUAACACAAAUCUCGUGAUUCAUCAUAGUUUAACUUUGAAAUCGGUAAUCUUCUCUUAUUCUCAUUACCCAUAGGCUAAAGGAAACUUUAAACAAUACUUUCAACUCAUUCAUAUGUCUCAUGGAGAGUAAAACUUCUUUAAUGCUCAAGAACUCAUAACUCUUUUGAACUCAAGUACUUGGAAUUCAGAAUCCUAUAACUUUGAAACAUACUUGAAGGCAUUUCAUUUACUUUAGGAAAAUAGCUUGUUUCAAGCUUUAGGGACAUCAUUCUAUCUCAAUGGAAAGAUACUCUAGUUUAGGGAAAUAACUUAUCUCAUAGUUUUAGAGAAAAUACUUAUAGCAAGGGAAAAUACUUUAGUCUUAGGGAGCAAAUCUGCAACUUUACUAUUAGGAAAAUAACUUGUAUCAAGGGAGGUUCACUUAACCGACAUAAAUCAUGCGAGCUACAUGGAGUCCAACGUUUUGUCCUCCUAAGAAAGAGACCCCACCUUGGGGAAGGGGAGCGUCAUACUCUUUACAGGGAGUAUAACCUCAAUUCAGUAAUCACUUAUCUCGUCCUUAGGCCCAAUAUCUCAGCCUUAGGCCUAAAAUCUCAAACCUACGGUGGCAUAUAGUUUUGGGGUAAAAAACCAUAGUAACUUACCCAACUCGAUGCUAAAUACUACUCCCUUUAGUUUAUCUCGAUCAUCUCAUGAAAAUCUACUUUAAAAUAGUCUCAUGGUUCAUCAAGAACCCAACAAUCAAAUCUAUAAUCUCAUGUAGUGAAGCAGAUUUCAAAACUCUAUGACCAUUAGGCCAAAAAAUUUCUCAAAAAUCUCAGAAUUCUCAAAUCAUAGGUGCUUAUAGCACAAGAGUUCAUUAAAUUGCAAAUCUCAAGUAGCGCUCAAUAACCCAUAAUUCAAUCUCAAGUUAAAACUCAUCAAAAGCAUAAUAGAUAGCAUCUAGAUUCAUAACUCAUGUAGAAAUCUGGAAAUUUCAGCAAUUUGUUUCAAAAUCUCAACAAACUCAUAUACUUCAGUAGCUCAAACAUUUUAACUAUUAAUUUCUCAAGGAUUAAAAUCAUGGGGUAUAGACCCAGCUAUUAUUUCUCAAGAAAACAUGUGAAAAUCAUGACAUUAGACUCUCAAUUCAUGGGAAACAUUAAAAUAUUGCAAUCAAUAAAAAAGGGUGAAAAACCCUAAUUCAAAUUCAUGUAAAAUCUCAUAGAUUACAAAAAAUCAUAGUUUAAAUAAGCCUUUGAGCACAACGAUGAAAGGAUUACCAUUGUUGAAAACCCCACAUACCUUUGAUUAUGAAAUUGGAUGAACGAGCUUGCUCUAAACUCUUCUUCUUACUCUUGAGAGAGAGAGUUCUAGAACCCUUUGAACUUAGGGAACUUAAUUUGUAGAAUCCAUGAUGAGUUCUUAGAUUUCUUGGAGAAGUGUUUUAGAUUUGCUCUUGAGCGAGAUACCCUAGCCUUUGGAUGUUUUGGGAGAUAAUAUGGCUAUCAUGUUUGUUUGGAAUAUAUCUGAGGGUUAAAAGGGAAAAGACCCAAAAACUCCUUUUAAAAGGUCUUAAAAAUACUGAACGGGGGCUGCGAUGGUCGAAGCGAUAGUCCGUCUCUAGCCUGAUGGUCCAUCGGGCCAUCCGUUGUAUGCUGGUUUAAAAAAGAACAUACUGUCUUGGUGUGACGGUCAAAGCAACGUUCCGUCGCUCAGCCUGACAGUCCAUCAGAUCAUCCUUCACACAUUGUCCAGGAUGAGGCCACACUGCCUAAGUGUGACGGUCCCAGCGAUGGUGUAUCACAGCCUUGAUGGUCUGUCAUUUUGGUUGUCGAACUUGGGCUAGAAAAGGGACUUAUUACCCUGGUUAUGAUGGGUUAAGCAAUGGUCCAUCGCAGACUCGACGGUCCAUCGGAUCAUCCAUUGCACCCGGGCAGUUUCUACAACUUUCAAUAAAACAGCCAUAACUUCUCACCCUGAUGCCGGAUUUAGACAAAAUUGGUAUCAUUGGAAAGCUAAUUCAAUUCACUACAUGAAAAAAAGUCAAAUUUAAGAAAAUUCUAUUUUUUUAAACACCAAUAACUUAGGAAGUCACCUUUCAAUAUUUUAGUGUUGGAAUUACACUUCUCUUGACACGCUCUAAGGCUCAGACUACGACUGAAUUUUAUGGGGUCUUAUAAGUAAAGUAUGUAUCUAAAUGUCAUAAUUAUCAACAGGUGAAAUAUGAAUAUCAAAGGCUUAUGGGUUUACUUCAGAGAAUACCUAUUCUCGAGUAGAAGUAGGAGAGGAUAGCCAUAGAUUUCAUAGUGGGUCUUCUGAAGACCUUAGAGUAGCAUAAAUCUAUAAGGGUCAUUAUGGACAAGAUGAACAAGUCAGCUAACUUCAUUCAAGUUACAGUGAAUUCUAACUUGAAAUAGUUACCAAAAUUUAUAUCAAGGAGAUAUUGAGGCUUCAUAGGGUACUGAUUUCUCUCAUUCUUGAUAAAGCAUGCAAUUCACCUCUAAGUUUUGGGACAGGUUAUAUGAAGAGUUGGCACUAAGCUUGAUUUCAGCAUUGCUUUCCUUCCUUAAACUAAUAGGUAGUAAGAAUGGUCUGGAUAUGUGCUUGAGGAUAUAGUAAUGCAUGUGUGAUUGAUUUUGGUGGUCAUUGGGAUAUGUUUAUGCCAAUGUGUAAGUUUUUAUACAGCAAUAGGUACUAUUCUAGCAUUAAUAUUGCUCUGAUCAAAGCACUCAAUAGAAGGAGGUAUAGAUCACCAAUAGGGUGGUUCAAAGUUGGUGACAUGAAGCCUUUAGGAAUAUAUUUGGUACAGAAAUCUUAGGAAAAGGUGAGAUUUAUCCAAAGCAAGUUGUAGACACCUUAAAUUAGGCAAAACAGGCAUGCAGAUCACAAGGUGAGGGACAUGUCAUUCAAAUCCAAUGAGUAGGUUUUAUUGAAAGCAUCUUCUAUGAUGGGAGUUAUGUGGUUUGGCAUGAAGCGUGACAUUGAUAUAUUGGUCCGCUUGAGGUUCUUAAUAAUAUAGCACUGGUAGCUUAUAGGUUGGUGCUGCCACCAGGCCUAUCAAGGGUUCAUCUACUAUUUAAUGUGUCAAUACAUUAGAGAUAUCAUGGAGAUAGGGAUUAAAUCAUUAUGUAGGAUUUAAUUUUCCUUGAUAAGAAUCUUUCGUACAAAGGGGAUCUAGUUAAAAUUAUUGAUCGAGAUAUUUUAAAGUUGAGAAUAAAGGAUAGUCAAUUUGUAAAGGUCUAAUAGAAGCAUCAUCCUAUUGAGAAAGCUACUUAGGAAACUGAGAGGGACAUGCAGGGCAUGUACCCUUACUCGUUCGAGGAUAAAAGUACUAUUUUCUUUUUAAUUGUCUUAUUUUCAUAUUUGAUUAUUUGGGGAUAAACGGUGGGAAGAUUGGUAUUUAUUAAAAUGACCCAUUCCAUCACUACGGGUAAGUCUAGAAUGCCUAAAUUUGACUUAAGGUUUUCCUCGAAUUGAGAGUUAUAGGUUUCAGGCUAGGCUAGCAUUGGAUAAAAUCUAAUUAUGGUAUGGUAGGAUAAUCUAGGAAUGGAUUAGUUAAAGGUUAUAUGUUUUUAAUUAUUUUUUUGAUAGAUAAGAAGAUAAGGAAUAUUCUAAAAUAAAUUCGAGUGAGGGUGAUAUCAAAAUAUGAGGGUGUAUUAUGAAAAUGGCAAAACUCAGAGGAAUCAUGAGUUUUUGCCUCACCUACGCUGCUAUAGAAGGUGGAGGGUGUCAAGCCUCUAAUAAUGCACUACUAUAGCGGAAGCCAGCUUUGGCCAGUUUCACCAUUGCAUGUUGAUUCUGCUAUAACGAGGAUGUUAUAGUGGGAUAGAUCUGCUAUAGUGGGAUAGGUUUAUAACUAGGAUAGGUUGCUAUAGUGGGAUAGGUUCUUGUGUACUGGUAGGGCCAUCAACCAACCCAAAAUAGGAAAAAUGAACAAGUAACCAUAACUUAGUAAAAUAAGAACAACCAUGAGCACCACCAUGUAACUUUACCUCAAAUAUGUGAUACAUAACCUUGUCAUUAACUUUAACACAAGAAACUAUCCUAGCUCAUUAUUUUAGGAUUUUCUACACUUUAAUAUCUUCGAAUUCCCAAUAUUUCAUGAUUUCAAAGAAGAAUUCUGUAAUGAACCUCCAGGUUAUUUUUUGUAUUUCUGCUUAUUUUAAUCGUUUAGAGCUUUUCUAUAGCUGUCCCAAGUCAUUUAUGACUUGCUGAAACUAAAAUUUUGGUUAACAGGUAGUUCAUUUGUUUUUUAAGAGCCAAUCUGGUUCAAAUUAGCUAACAAGAAAAGACUUCAGUUAGACAACCUCGUAUGUCAAUUAUAAUAGUUCAAACAACUCCAGAACAUCAAUUUUAGAUUAGGUAGAUCCUUUUCAUCAAAAUAUUCUCGAAUGAAAUUUUGACUGCGCGAUUGAGUCUAGAAUGUCAAAUUUGAUAAGGUAGGAUAGUCCGCUUGUAUAGACAAGAUUCUAGAUGAAUCCUGAGAGGCUGGUAGAGGCUUAGAAAAAUUCUAAGUCUCGGCCGGUACUGGUAUGUUGUGUACACGACCAGUCGAUUGCUAUUGGCCACUGGUAUGACUUAAGCAAGGAUUUGAUCACAUACGUGAGAGCUACUUAAGCAACUCCAGUGUUGCCGAUGCAACAUAUGCUUUGGCAGUAAGCAUCGCUUAAGCAAUCUAGUUUCUGCUUGAGCAACACCUAUACACCUGGGAAGGGUAUAAAAACCCCACUUAGCCUAAUUUUCACUAUUUCUCACCAAUUCUCUAGAAUAUUAAACCAUAAAAAGUGUAAAACUUAUGAGAAUCAUUAGUGGGAAAUUUUGAAGUGUUCAUAAACUCGAUUAACACAUUUCUUAUUUGACUUCCUGGUAAGUUUCAUCAAAUUCCAUCACUAAUUUCUCAUGAUUUCCCUAAAAUUCAUAAAAUAUUGGUUGGAUGAUCAUAGCACCAUUGAUAUUGAAAUUCACUCAUUCUUGAGGGUAAAUGUUCCUUGAGCAUAGAGGGACAUUUUGAUAGUUUCAAAAGUGUGAGUCUGCAAAUAGGCCCCACAUGAGAUUUUUACGUAAUUUUGGACCCAAAGCACAAUAGUGUAAUAUGGGCAUCAUUGUUAUCAUUUUGGUGAGUAUAUUAUGGUUUUGAUAGCACGACAUCUUGCAAAAGCUUCUUAGAAGGGGAAAUUAGUAGUUUAGCGGAUUCUUCGGGUUUUUUUCGGUGUCCACGUAUGAUAGAUUUACCUUCUUCACAGAUUGAGAUAACUCGUAGUAUAAUUAUCAUAUUAUAAUUGAUAUGGGAUGGGGUUUAGGUAUUGGAAGCAGGAUUGGUAUGGUUAGUCUUAUUUUGACUGUUUAGGCUAUCUUGAAAUCGUAAUUAGGUAAAAUUGACCUAGUUGCUCACAUUUUAGGUGGAAUUGACUCAGUUUCUUAUGUUUUAGGAAGAACUGUUAUCUUAGAGCUAAUUAUGUCAUUUAAUAUUUAGAAAUAAAUUUAGAUACCUUAACCUAGUUCAGGAUAGAAUUUGCCUAAAAUGAAUUUUGGGGAUUAGAAGUACGUCCCUCCAGCAUACUUUACGCCAAGAUGUGUCUUAGCUUUGUCUAAUACCCUAAGUUUCAGUCCUUGAAAAUUUUUGAAAUUUUAUACUCACUUCCCAAACUACGAAUCUCCUUAUGAGUUGUAAUAAGUCAUUACGAGUCAUACAACCCUAAUCAUAGCCUGACUAGUGUGUAUGGCUAAGUUUUCUAUCUUAAGUACGAGUGGCUCCUAACGAGUUGUAAAGACUCAAAAUAAGUCGUAUGGUGUCUUCUAUAGCCUAACCAGUAUGAUGUCCAAUUGUUUUUUCUUUGAUAAUGAUUGGACCAUACGAGUCAAAAUGACUGAGUAUAAGUCGUAUAGUAUGUGAUUCAUAUCCAAGUCAGUAUUAGUGAUCAUGGACACUUUCCAGAAUACAAGUGGGACCUUACGAGUCAUAAGGUGACCCUACGAGUCUUAAGGUCAGUCGUAGGGAUUGGGCGAUAAUUUUUAGUCUUUUAUUAAGGGCAUUCUGGUCAAUUCCCCUUUUUCUUUACUCAUACCCCAUGUCCAUAAAGCACUCAAGGGGUUAUUCUCAUUCAUAACACAAUCAAAACACACUCUCUUCUCUCUAAACUCUCCAAGGUCAAGAUAUGUAGGAUUUUCAAGAAGUUGGUCAUCUAAGGGCUCAAGGGUUGAUUUCUCUCCAUAAAUCUUGGUAUUUUAGGCAUGUUACUCUUCCCCAAAUAUUAAUUUAUGAAAAUCAUGUAUUUAAAUGGUUUAAUCAGAGGGUUUUGAUGUGAUUGAAGGUUUUGACAUGGUUGAUACAUAAAUUGUUUUCCUAUGAUUUAUUAUAUAUUGUUUAUUCUUUAUUAAUGGUUUUGAACUGGUGGGGUGCAUGGGAAUGGUGAAUAAACUAAGGGGCCAUGGUUUUCCCCAAAUUGAUGUUUUGAAAUUUGGAGUUAGUUUUGAAUAAUUGUGUUCCCUCAACCUGCUUGUGUAAAUGGCUUUGAAUGGUGAAAUUAUCACUUGGCUUGAUGUACUCACCUAUUUUAUUGCACUGCAUAAAUGGUUAAAUAAUGAACCUAGAUUUUGAAGGCCUUGUUGGCUAUGAUUUAAUUUAAUGAACAAAGGGGGUUGAGGUAUUCCCCCAAGUUAAUGUGAUUGUUAUGGCAUAGAGAUAAGCUUGAAAGUGUUAGGGUAUUACGAUACUCAUAGUGUGCCUUAAUGGUUGGUUCUUUGGUUAAUAAAUAGGUUAGGUGAAACUUGCUUUAAAUUAGGCUUAAUGGGGGUUAUGUAGUGAAGCCGUGAAGGUGUGGGUCUCAAAUGAUUUAUAUUGGAAACUCAUGUUUGCCAACGUGAGGUCUGGUCUUGAUUACUAUGUGCAUAUGUAACGCCCCGGAAAACGGAUCCCGGAGCGUCACACGGUGCUUGAGGCUACGAGUAGCCCCAAGCUAACCCUUUGAGCCAUUUUUAUUCAAUUCAACAUGAAUCAACGGGGUUUCCAUAAAUAACCCUCAAAUAUUAACAGAGUAAUCAUCAUCCAAGAAUAAAAUAAUUUCAGAAAGAUAACAAAAUACGACUUAUUAGUCAACUCCCAACAUCUAUACUAGUCUGNNNNNNNNNNNNNNNNNNNNNNNNNNNNNNNNNNNNNNNNNNNNNNNNNNNNNNNNNNNNNNNNNNNNNNNNNNNNNNNNNNNNNNNNNNNNNNNNNNNNNNNNNNNNNNNNNNNNNNNNNNNNNNNNNNNNNNNNNNNNNNNNNNNNNNNNNNNNNNNNNNNNNNNNNNNNNNNNNNNNNNNNNNNNNNNNNNNNNNNNNNNNNNNNNNNNNNNNNNNNNNNNNNNNNNNNNNNNNNNNNNNNNAAUUUGUCAAUCACUUUCAGUUCAUCAAGAAUAUCAAUUCUCAUAAUGUAAAUAUCAUUUAAAUCUUUUGAAAGAAUAACUUUCACAAUUCCACUUUCAAAUCACUUCACCAUUCACCAUAGACACAACGAAACACACGCACACUGGGAGAUCCUAUAACCGACAUAAACCAUGUGAGCUACAUGAAGUCCAACGUACAACCCACGUUAGGGAGAGCUGUCCUAUCCUUUCCAUUAGAGUAGGACUAUCGAUAUUAAAUCCACACUAACUAGUGAUCACUAUAUAAAUCAGCCUCAAGCUCACUCCUACGGGGGCACUUAGUUCUAGGGAAGUAAGGUCGCUUUAUACCUCCCACUCAAUGCUAAAGAUUUCUCCUGAACUUAUCUUAGAUCAUUUCAAAGACAAUCCACAAUAAAUCUUGAAUAAAUUUGCAGAAUUAAUGGUGAACUUUGGAGGUUCUUGAAGUUCUUGAACUAGGAACUUGGAAUCUUGAAUAAAUUUGCAGAAUUAAUGGUGAACUUUGGAGGUUCUUGAAGUUCUUGAACUAGGAACUUGGAAUCUUGAAUAAAUUUGCAGAAUUAAUGGUGAACUUUGGAGGUUCUUGAAGUUCUUGAACUAGGGACUUGGAAUCUUGAAUAAAUUUGCAGAAUUAAUGGUGAACUUUGGAGGUUCUUGAAGUUCUUGAACUAGGAACUUGGAAUCUUGAAUAAAUUUGCAGAAUUAAUGGUGAACUUUGGAGGUUCUUGAAGUUCUUGAACUAGGAACUUGGAAUCUUGAAUAAAUUUGCAGAAUUAAUGGUGAACUUUGGAGGUUCUUGAAGUUCUUGAACUGGGAACUUGGAAUCUUGAAUAAAUUUGCAGAAUUAAUGGUGAACUUUGGAGGUUCUUGAAGUUGGCUGUAGGAGCUUAGGGUUUUCUUUUUUAGGGAAUUUGAUGGAAUAUAACAUAUAAUGAUUUUAAUAGGCUUUAAUAUAGGGUUUGGAUGGAUUUUGGGUGAGGGGGAAUGACCAAAACGCCCCUAAAAAAUCAAAUAAUUCUCGAAUCAAUCCUUUGGUGGACAGUUUUGAUAGUCUGAAGUAGAUUAACCAUAACGUUUCACUCCAAUAUCCAAAUUAGAUGAAACUAAUUUCAUUAGAAAGAGGACUCUCAUAUCUUUUCGUUGAUAUAUAGUAUCUCACCCAGAUCAUUGUGUACGAGGAGUUAUGAUCAUUUGAAGUUGACCCAAAAAUUUACUUUUGAUAGGCUAAAGUAGAUCGACCAUAACUUUUUGCACCGGUAUAAAAAUUGGAGGAAACUAAUUUUAUUGGAAAGAGGACUCGCAGAGAUUUCCGUUGAUAUAUAGUAGAUAACCCAGAUCAUUAUGUACAAGUAGUUAUGAUCGUUUAAAAUUGGAGCAAAAAUAUGUCAGGACUUAGUACUUUUUCCUGCACGUUUUACUGUUCACUACUAUUCAUGGUUCGAUCGGAAUGUUCAUAACUCGUCGCUCGGGUAUCCGUUUUGGAUGAUCCAUAUAUUGUUGGAAAUCUUACUCGAUAAUAUACGCAAUGGUGGGUCAUAAUCUAAGACAUUCCACAUGAAAAAUUUAUAAUUCAUUCUAGAAGAUAGAACCCAACACGUUUACGCACAAAAUUUCAACGAUAAAUUUCCCGGGGUAUUACAUCAUCCCCCCUUGGAAACAUUCGUCCUUGAAUGAUGCUAGACAUGUCAAGAUUAGAUAGGGAAUAAAGCAUACUGUUGAAACCAUUCGUUAGAAUCAUCACCACAUCGUUUCUCACUCCGAAUGCAACAUAGAAUGUAUAAAUUCAAGAAACUACAGCUGAACACAUAAUAAAUGCAGUUGAACUGCUGCAACUUUUAUCAAAAGUGCAUGAUUUAGGAAAGAACGGUACCUUNNNNNNNNNNNNNNNNNNNNNNNNNNNNNNNNNNNNNNNNNNNNNNNNNNNNNNNNNNNNNNNNNNNNNNNNNNNNNNNNNNNNNNNNNNNNNNNNNNNNNNNNNNNNNNNNNNNNNNNNNNNNNNNNNNNNNNNNNNNNNNNNNNNNNNNNNNNNNNNNNNNNNNNNNNNNNNNNNNNNNNNNNNNNNNNNNNNNNNNNNNNNNNNNNNNNNNNNNNNNNNNNNNNNNNNNNNNNNNNNNNNNNNNNNNNNNNNNNNNNNNNNNNNNNNNNNNNNNNNNNNNNNNNNNNNNNNNNNNNNNNNNNNNNNNGGCUAAGAAUUUUGUAAGGACCAACAUAACGGGGACUAAGCUUCCCCUUCUUUCCAAAUCUCUUCACCCCCCUCAUGGGUGAAAUUUUCAGAUACACUAGGUCACCAACUUCAAACUCAAGGUCUCUCCUUCUAACAUCCACAUAUGACUUCUGAUGACUCUAUGCAGUUUUCAACCUUUCCCUAAUCAACUUAAAAUUUUUCAUAGCCUCAAAUACCGAAUCAGGACCACUCACAGCCGCUUCACCCACCUCGAACCAACCUAUGGGUGAUCUACACUUUCUCCCAUAUAAGGAUUCAAACGAAGCCAUGUCAAUACUAGAGUGGAAACUGUUAUUGUAAGUAAACUCUAUCAACGGUAAGUGAUCAUCCCAACUUCCCUUAAAGUCAAGUUCACAAGCUCUCAACAUAUUCUCUAAGGUCUGGAUGGUCCACUCAGCCUGACCAUCGGUCUGCAGAUGAAAAACAGAACUCAAAAGCACUUGGGUACCAAGACCCUUCUGAAAAACUUUCUAAAAUUAUGAAGUGAACUGAGUACCCCUAUCUGAAAUGAUAUAGAAGGGAACUCUAUGCAGUCUGACUAGCUCUCAGAUAGACAAUCCAGCGUAAUCCUCAGCAGUAUAUGAAGUAUGAACAAGCAAGAAAUGAGAAGACUUAGUCAACCUAUCAACCACAACCCAAAUGGAAUCAUGAUAGCGUCGGGAAGGAGAUAAACCAAUCACGAAGUCCAUAUUUAUCUCUUUCCACUUCCAGAUGGGAAUACUAAACUCUUGCAUCAUACCACUAGGUCUUUGGUGUUCAACUUUAACCUGUUAGCAUAUUAUACACUUAGCUACAAACGCUGCUAUAUCUUUCUUCAUGCCACUCCACCAAUAGAUUUCCCGCAAGUCUCAGUACAUCUUGGUGGCACCAGGAUGAAUAGAAUAUCGUGCCCCGUGUGCUUCAGCCAUAAUCCUCUAUCUCAAAUCAUCAAUAUUUGGGACACACAAUCUACCCUGCAAUCUUAACACACCAUCUCCCCCUUGGGAGAAAACCUCUACUUUUUGGUCCUUGACUGACUCCUUCAGUAUGACUAAACUAGCAUCUAAGUAUUGCUUUUUCUUCCCUUCUGAAACCAAGGAGGAUUCGGAACUACUCUGAACCCCUAUACUACCUUUAGCAAAGUCAACCAAUCUAGCCAAACGAUGUACAUCACAAGCCAACUCUUUCUUACCUUCUACCACAUGCGAAACACUACCUAUGGACACUCUACUUAGGGCAUCCGCCACAACAUUAUCCUUGGCCGGAUGGUACAGCACACUCAUAUCAUAGUCCUUUAAUAAUUCUAACCAUCAUCUCUGCCUAAGAUUCAAUUUUCUCUGGGUAAACACAUACUGCAUACUCUUAUGAUCAGUGAAAACAUCAACAUGGACACCAUACAAAUAGUGUCUCCAGAUUUUCAUAGCAAACACAACAGCAGCCAACUCAAGGUCAUNNNNNNNNNNNNNNNNNNNNNNNNNNNNNNNNNNNNNNNNNNNNNNNNNNNNNNNNNNNNNNNNNNNNNNNNNNNNNNNNNNNNNNNNNNNNNNNNNNNNNNNNNNNNNNNNNNNNNNNNNNNNNNNNNNNNNNNNNNNNNNNNNNNNNNNNNNNNNNNNNNNNNNNNNNNNNNNNNNNNNNNNNNNNNNNNNNNNNNNNNNNNNNNNNNNNNNNNNNNNNNNNNNNNNNNNNNNNNNNNNNNNNNNNNNNNNNNNNNNNNNNNNNNNNNNNNNNNNNNNNNNNNNNNNNNNNNNNNNNNNNNNNNNNNNNNNNNNNNNNNNNNNNNNNNNNNNNNNNNNNNNNNNNNNNNNNNNNNNNNNNNNNNNNNNNNNNNNNNNNNNNNNNNNNNNNNNNNNNNNNNNNNNCUGACCUUAGCCAAAACUCACACUUACUGAACUUGGCAAACAACUUGUGAUCUCUAAGGGUUUGGAAGACAGUUCAGAGAUGAUCAGAAUGUUCAUCCUCACUACGGGAGUACACCAGUAUAUCAUCAAUGAACACUAUGACAAACACAUCCAGAUAUGGUCUGAACACUCGAUUCAUGAGGACCAUGAAAGUUGUUGGGGCAUUAUUUAACCCGAAAGACAUAACAGGAAACUCAAAAUGGCCAUAACGAGUUCGGAAAGCGGUUUUUGGGAUGUCACACUCCCUAACUUUGAGUUGAUGAUAGCCGAAACGAACGUCUAUCUUUGAGAAAUAACUUGCACCUUGCAAUUAGUUAAACAAAUCAUCUAUUCUAGGAAGGGGUUACUUAUUUUUUAUGGUGACUUUAUUCAGUUGGCGGUAAUCAAUGCACAUACGCAAAGAGCCAUCUUUCUUUCUUACAAACAACACAGGAGCACCCCAAGGAGAAACACUGCGCCUUGUGAAACCCUUAUCUAGUAGAUCUUUGAGUUGCUCUUUCAACUCUUUAAUUUCUGCAGGGGCCAUACGGUAAGGAGAAAUAGAAAUAGGAUGAGUAUCAGGAAGAAGAUCAAUCUCGAACUUUAUCUCUCUAUCAGGAGGUAUCCCUGGGAGAUCAUUUGGAAAGACAUCAAAAAACUCAUUGACAACAUUAACAGACUGAAGAGUUGGAGUCUCAGACUUAGUGUCUUUGACUCUAACCAAAUGGUAAAUGCACCCCUUGGAAAUAAGCUUUCAAGCUUUGAGGUAAGAGAUAACAUAACUCUUGGGUGACAUAGAAUUCCCAGACCAUUCAAACACGGAUACACCCAGAAACUGAAACUUUACCACUUGGAUUCGACAAUUAAUAGAGGCAUAAAAAGAAUACAACCAGUCCAUACCCAGAAUUACAUCAAAAUCUACCAUGUCUAACUCAAUCAGAUUAGCCAACAAGAUUCUAUGAAGAACAGUAAUAGGACACUUUUUAUACACUUUUUAGGCAACAAUCGAAUCACCCACUAGGGUAGAAACUAGGCUACGCUUAGGAAUAAUCUCAGGCCUUAUUUCAAAAUUCAUAGCAAUCAAAGGUAUAACGUAUGAGAAACUAGAUCCAGGAUCCAACAAAGCAUACACAUCAAACUAAAAUAUAUGAAGCAUACCAGUAACAAUAUCGGGAGAGUUCUCUUGUUCCUGGGGGGACGGUAAAGCAUAAAAUCUAUUCUGGCGCUGCCCACCAGCACUGCUAAAAGAGAUGCCCUGAGCUGGGCUGGGCGAGUCCCUGGAAUUGGAGCACUAAUAGUCUGAGUCUGGGUCUGAGGGCAAUAGUCACGAUGUCGUUGUCCAUCCUGUGGACAAUCUCUAACUCUGUAACCCAUGUCACUACACCAGAAACAACCCCUCUUCUCACCCUAACACUCACCCGAAUGAGCCCUACCACACUUAGGACACAGGGGAUGAUUUGUCUUACUGUCAGCACUGUACUGGGACCUGGAUGCAUAUGACCUACUACCUUGCUCUUGCCUACCUUUAGGCACGGGAGCACUAGUAGAUGACGGUGUUGGCAUAGAUGAACGAUCCUAAUACUAAGGGAGACUCCCUCCCUGCGAUCUAGUCUGACCUUGUCCGUGCUGCUCGAACCUAGCUCUCUUAUUCCCUCUCAUUCUAUCUCUCUCCUUAAUCUUGUCUGCCUCAAUUCACUGGGCAUGAGUCAUCAGCCUAGAAAGAUUCAUCUCACUAUUCAGCAUAGCAGACCUACACUCCUUAACCACAUAACUAGACACUCCAGUUACAAACUUACUCAUACUAACCCGAUUAUCAGCCACAAAGUCAGGAGCAUACUUGGCCAACUUACUGAACUUUAGACAGUACUCCCUAAUAGUCAUAGAGCCCUGUCGCAGGUUCAUAAACUCUUCCACCUUCGCCUCCCUCAUCUCUAAAGGGAAAAACUUAUCCAGGAAUGCAUCCUGGAACUCUCGCCAAGUCGUAGGGACAGCUCUCUCACCUCUACCUUUCCUCCAAGCAACAACCCAAUCAUAAGCAAGGUCUUUCAACCUAUACGCAGCCAACUCUACACUAUGUUCCUCAGAUACAUGCAUCACCAAAGUAAUCUUCUGCACCUCCUCUAAAAAUAAUCGUGGAUCCUCAUCAGACUUGGACCCAUAGAAUUCCGAUGGAUUCAUCCGUAUAAAGUCAUGAAUCCUGGCAGUAGGUGAAUUACCUCCCUACUGCUAUGGAGCUGGGGCCGGGUUGGCCUAAACAUUUGCAGUAAUAGCUUGGGCUAGCGCCUGAAAGGCUGCCCAAAAAUUUAGCAUGAGACACAUUUUCAUUCAAUAGGUCAGUGGGUUGAGGUUGCUGACCAUCAUUAUUUCUUCUUGCUCGGCUGGAGGCAUAUUUCUGAAAGAUGAGAGCACGAAUCAAUAGCAGAGAGAGACACUUUAAGCACGAUAGACUUCUUAAAGAAAGAAUUAUACUUUUCCUAAAACGUCUUGUAGUCUCUUGCUCAUAGAUAUAGCGCGUUACACACCAAUGAUCAAGACUCUACUUAACACGGCUUGUCAGACUCCCUAGGACACCUUAAAACCUUAGGCUCUAAUACCAAGUUUGUAACGCCCUAAAAAAUAGGUCCCGGAGUUUCACACGGUGCUUAAGGCUACGAGUAGCCCCAAGCUAACCCCUUGAGCCAUUUUCAUUCAGUUCAACAUGAAUCAAUGGGGUUUCCAUAAAUAACCCUCAAAUAUCAAUAGAGUAAUAAUCAUCCAAGAAUAAAAGAAUUUCAGAAAGAUAACAAAAUACGACUUAUUAGUCAACUCCCAACAUCUAUACUAGUCUGACAUACCUCUAAAAACAUCAAUAAAACCAGCGAGCCAUUAAGACAUGCCCCAACUGACUUAUACUCAGUUAUCAAAUGUAAACAAUUUUAUGAAACCAACUUCAGACAUCACUUUCUCAGAAUAUGAGGACUCACCAUAAUAGAGGAUAUAGAAUAGCGUGCCUGAAGAAUCACUAUCAAACCUAGAUUUGAGCACCUGAACCUAUAUUCUGAGAAAAUACAACCCACAUCCGAAUAUGUGGUGAGUAUAUGAGGGUGUAUGCAGUUUUAUAAACAUCAUCAUCAUAAAUAUUUAUAAGAAAUAUGCAGGAUGUAUGAAAGAGUCACAUAGCCCGAAGAAAAUCAUCAUAAUCAUGAGAGGAUAAAAUAAGUAUAAUAACACAUAUGAGUCAUCAUAUAAUUUGUCAAUCACUUUCAGUUCAUCAAGAAUAUCAAUUCUCAUAAUGAAAAUAUCAUUUAAAUCUUUCAAAAGAAUAACUUUCACAAUUCCACUUUCAAAUCACUUCAUCAUUCACCAUAGACAUAAGAAAACACACACACAUUGGGAGAUCCUAUAACCGACAUAAACCAUGUGAGCUACAUGGAGUCCAAUGUAUAACCCACAUUGGGGAGAGCCGUCCUAUCCUUGCCAUCAGAGUACGACUAUCGAUAUCAAAUCCACACAAACUAGUGAUCACUAUAUAAAUCAGCCUCAGGCUCACUCCUAUGAGGGCACGUAGUUCUAGGGAAGUAAGGUCGCUUUAUACCUCCCACACGGUGCUAAAUAUUUCUCCCGGACUUAGCUCAGAUCAUUUCAAAGACAAUCCACAACAAAACAAUUUCAUUAAUAUAUAAAUAUACAUCGAGAGCNNNNNNNNNNNNNNNNNNNNNNNNNNNNNNNNNNNNNNNNNNNNNNNNNNNNNNNNNNNNNNNNNNNNNNNNNNNNNNNNNNNNNNNNNNNNNNNNNNNNNNNNNNNNNNNNNNNNNNNNNNNNNNNNNNNNNNNNNNNNNNNNNNNNNNNNNNNNNNNNNNNNNNNNNNNNNNNNNNNNNNNNNNNNNNNNNNNNNNNNNNNNNNNNNNNNNNNNNNNNNNNNNNNNNNNNNNNNNNNNNNNNNNNNNNNNNNNNNNNNNNNNNNNNNNNNNNNNNNNNNNNNNNNNNNNNNNNNNNNNNNNNNNNNNNNNNNNNNNNNNNNNNNNNNNNNNNNNNNNNNNNNNNNNNGUGAACUUUGGAGGUUCUUGAAGUUGGAUGUAGGAGCUUAGGGUUUUCUUUUUGGGGGAAUUUGAUGAAAUAUAACAUAUAAUGCUUCUAAUAGGCUUUAAUAUAGGGUUUGGACGUAUUUUGGGUGAGGGAAAAUGACCAAAACACCCCUAAAAAAUCAAAUAAUUCUCGAAUCUAUCCUUUGGUGGACUGUUUUGAUAGUCUAAAGUAGAUCAACCAUAACGUUUUAUCCUAUAUCUUCAUUAGAAAGAGGACUCUCAUAUCUUUUUAUUGAUAUAUAGUAUCUCACCCAGAUCAUUGUGUAUGAGGAGUUAUAAUCGUUUGAAGUUGACCCAAAUAUUUGCUUUUGAUAGGCUGAAGUAGAUCGACCAUAACUUUUUGCUCCGAUAGACAAAUUAGAUGUAACCAAUUUCAUUGGAAAGAGGACUCGCAAUGCUUUUCAUUCAUAUAUAGUAGAUCACCCAGAUCAUUAUAUACAAGGAGUUAUGGUCAUUUAAAGUUGGAGAGAAAAUACAUUAGGCCUCGGUACUUUUUCCUGCAUGUUUUACUGUUCACUACUAUUCACGGUUCGAUCAGAAUAUUCAUAACUCAUCGCUUAGGUGUCUGUUUUGAAUGAUCCAUAUAUCGUUGGAAAGAUUAUUUGAUACUCUACACAAUGGUGGUUCAUAAUCUAAGACAUUCCAUACGGAAAAGUUAUAAUUCAUUCUAGAAGAUUGAACCCAACACAUUUACGCACAAAAUUUCAACAAAAAAUUUCUUAGGGUAUUACAGCAUAGGUCACACUUGAUCUAUAUAUAUAUAUAUAUAUAUGACUAGUUGCCUUGAUGGAUUUAUCUUUCCCAUAGUUUUUCUUCAAUUCAUAUAGCUAACAUGGGCUGAGGACCUUUCAGCAGGGGGAGUUGAACCUAUAUAUCCUGUGGGUGCCUUUUAUGAUGGUUGAGCUACAUAGUCCAUUAUAAUGUUUUACGUCAUUCUAAACAUUGUUCCCUAUCACGGCAUAUUAGUUAUAUAUAUAUAUGAUGAUGUCCACGUGAUUUUGAAUUGGAUUUAACUUGGCAUUAUUUUUAUCUCUUAUCCUUGAGUUACAUGCUAGUGCUCAACCCACUAACUCUCUUCGAAUGUUGUAUUCACAUAUAAUUCAGGAACCAAAGAUACCUCUAUUUUUUUUUACAGUGUUAAGUAGAUCAACUCAUUUUGUCGAUCAUUGGUGGUGAAGUGGUAAGCUUUUAUUUUUAGGAAGGCUUGGUCAUUUUAUCAGUUUUCUUUUAUAGACUAUAAUUAAAGAGUUCCCAUUAUCAUUAACAUUAUCAUUAUCAUUAUCAUUUUUAUUGUCAGGCUCAGGGGUAUGUCCCUGACAAAGAUUGGCUUUUGGUUUUGUUAGAGGGUUUAUGGAUAUUACUGUAGAUCGAGUUGCAUUGAUGUUGACACUUUUAACUAUCUUUGAUCUUAGUUUAUUGUCUUCUUAUCUUGUUAUAUAUUUGAAAUUCAGUCACUGCUAAGUGCUAUGUCCUUUUUGGCUAGGCAAAAGGGUUGGUCUUCGGUCCUUGGUAGACUUGAGAUACCCAUCAAGGUCAGGCCCUAGUUUGGGUUGUGACACUUUGUAGACUUAUUUACGCAUGAUAUACCCUUUUUAAUGCUUAUCUUGAGACUUUGAGAGAGGUUAAAUACUUAAUUAUUACGCUAGUUUGGUAAUUAGGAGUUAGUGUUAAUUCUAGGGAAAAUUCAAUGGGUAAUUAUUAUAAUUUAGAGAUAUGGCUUAUGGAUAUGGUUUAUUUAUGUGGUGUAUUGACAUAGUCUAUUUAUAUGAGUUUUGAUUCAAGUUUGACAAUUAAUAAUGAUAUUGAUUAAUAUGAGUUUUAGUUCAAGUCCGGCAACUGAUGAUGAUAUUGAUACAUGAGUUCUGGUUCAAGUCUGGCAAUUGAUGAUGAUAUUGAUACUAUGAGUUCUAUUUCAAGCUCGAAAAAUGAUGUUAUGAUGUGAUACUAUUGGAGAUGUUAUAAUAAUGAUGUUGUGAGUUUUGGUUCGAGACCAAAAAUGAGAGUUGGGUACAAUAUGAGACUGUAUGGACGGUUUGAUGAUUAUAGUUGAUAUUUAGUGAAGUUAUGGAUCUUUCGUUGUUUAGUUUCCUUGAUUUUACACUUUGGGCGUAUGCCCCCCUCCCCACGUUGGGUUAUUUUCUUUCUGCAUUUAUUGGCUUAUGGGGGACAACUUAGUUAUAAUUGUAAGAUCUUUAUGCUACUUUUUCGUAUUUAUUUACUUACUUAUGCAUAACAAUGUUGGAGAUAAUUUUCCAGGUUUUCUUUUUUACCUUGACUUGGAUUAUUUUUUUGUAUCUUAUCGUACUUAUAUCAUGAUUUAUCUUAGUCAGUUGAUGAUUUCUACUGAGUACCUAUGGUUUUGGUACUCAUACUACACUUUUGUACCUUUUUGGUGUAGAUCCGAGUACUAGUUAUUGUCAUUAGUAUGACACUUAUGCUGAGUUGAUUUCAGAGAUUGGAUGAGAUCUUAAAUUUGGAAUUUCCCUUUACCCUUCUAUUAUCCAUAUCUAGUCUUUCAUUUUGUGAGAUAGAUUGUAUUUGAUAGUUUUAGUACUUAUAUUUUAUUUCAAGUAGCUCUAUACCAACACUACUAAGUCUUGGGAUGAUUUUUGAUCUUUUAUCUAUCUAUGAGACUAUUAUGACUAUCUUAUUGUUAUUAUAAGCCUUUAAUAAUUGAUUUUGGCUUUUACGCUAUUUUUCACCAAGUUAGCCCAUUUUUUAUAACUCUAGGCUAUCAUUUCGCUUAUUUACUGGCGGGAUAAAGUAAGUGUCAUCAUGACUCAUAAAUCAGGUCUUGACAAAUUGGUAUUAGAGUCUAGGAUUCACCAAUAUUGUUGGUAUAAGAGCACGUGUCUAGUAGAAUCCCACAGAUCAGAACAAUAACGUCCAUUUAUUUUCUUUAGGAGACUAUAAGACAUUCUUAGGAGUUCUUCACCUUUUUCACUUAUUUCAUGUUAAGAGUUUGAGUUGGUUUCGAAAGCAUUUCUUUAGUUUCACUCUUUCACAUAUAGCUAGGACAUGUGCUACCACAAUAUGAGAGGAGGGUCCUAAGAUCGAUCCUAGGUAUCCUGACAUUUUUCAUGGAUGACCUAAAGGUCAUGUACAACCCAGGUAUGUGUCCCCGGCUAGGGCCUACGAUAGGGUGCCUUUACUAGAACAUAUUCUUGCCCUCGAGCCAGAUAUCUCUUCUGCCCCAGCCAGUUGUGGGUCGAGACCAGCCCAGGCUCUAUAGGGGUUUAUUUAUUCAAUACUUAAGGAUACUUUGGUUCAGCUAUUAAGAUUUAUUAGUGGUGAAGAGUCUACAGAUCAGAGUAGUAUUGAGGUGGGGCGCAGCCUGUAGCUGCAGCUCCCAAUAUUGAUUCCUUCAUGUACCAGUAAUUGCCCAGUUGGUAGUUGCUCAGUUGGUAGUUACCCAGCCUGCUAUGCCUGUUGAGGAGUACAAGAUAUUGGGUAGAUUCUUGCGAUUGGCUUCGCCUAGGUUUUUUGGUAUACCAAGUGAGGAUGCUUAUGAGUUCUUAAUUAUUUGUAAGGAUACACUCCAUAAUUUAGGCCUAGUUGAGACUCAUGGUAUGGAUUACACUACCUUUUAGUUGGACUUGGUAUCUCGAUAUUGGUGGAGAGGUCAUCUUGAUUCCAGGCCAGCUGGAUCACCUCCUAUGUUAUGGACUUAGUUCUUUGAGAUCUUCUUAGAGAAGUAUAUGCCUCACAAUCUUAGGGAUUACCUAAAGGAUCAGUUCUCAUGGUUAAAGAAGGGAUCUAUAAUUAUUGUGGAGUAUGAGGCUUGAUUUUAUGAGUUGGUCAGGCAUGCUACUUCUAUUUUAACUACUGACUAUGCGAGGGUUCGUUGCUUUGUUCAGGGACUGAGACUUUUUUUUCAUAUAUAUACAAAGAAUUUGGUUGUUGUGUUUAGAUAAUUUGUUGAGGUUUCUAAUCAUGCUCGAGCUAUGAAGGAGAUAUAUUGCGAACCUUAAGGGGGCAGCGAUAAGAGGCCUCAAUAUCAAGGUAGUUUCAGUAGGAGUCAUAGUGGCUCACGGUUCAGAGGUAGUGGUUCAUAGGGUAGGUACCUUCCGCAUCAGUCGUAUCAGCAUCAGGGUCAGUUUAGUAGGCUCGUUCAGGCUGAACUUUAGAUUACUGAUGAAGGCCAGUCUAGUUUUAGUUAUCAUCCUGGCUAGGGUAGUGGUCAGUCUUUGAGAGGUUCAUCUUCUGGUUAUUCUAGUCGUGGUGGUUAUUCCGAGUCAGUCAAAUUUUCUAGCUUUAGUAAAAUUCUUAGGCCAUGUUAUGUUUGUGAAGUUUUUAGUCAUUUCUCGAGAAAAUACCCAAUCCAUGGAGUGAUGUUUCCUUCAAUUCAUAGCAUUCCACCAAUUCAGGCAGUUCUACUUUAUCUAGAGGUGGUAUGCAUGGGUGUAGGGGUGGUCCCGAAGGUGCUUAUGGAGGUUCUCAGGUAGGUAGGAUAGGAGAUUUGUUAGGAGCCUAGCUAGGUAAUGGGUGUGGUCAGUUGUAUGUCAUACCUGCUAGACCUGAGACUGAGUCUUUGAAUGUUGUUAUCACCAGUAUAAUCUUGGUAUGCCAUCAGUUAACUUUUGCUUUAUAUGAUCUGGGAUACACUUAUUCGUAUAUAUCUGCUUAUUAUGCCUCACAGUUAGAGUUAUCUUGGGACUCAUUAUCUAUGCUAUUAUGUGUGUCUACUCUCGUGAGUUAUUCUUUUGUAAUGGAUCAGAUUUAUAGAUCAUGUGUUGUGACUGUUCAAAGUUUGAUACUUGGGCUGAUCUUAUUGUGUUAGAUAUAGUGGAUUUUGGUGUGACUCUGGGCAUGGACUGGUUAUCCCACUAUCAUGCGGUCCUAGAUUAUUUCGCCAAGACCAUUACCUGAGCCAUACUUGAUGUACCCCCAGUGGUAUGGCAGGGAAUGAUUAAUCGUAAGCAAACACGGAUUAUUUUUUAUAUUCGGGCUAGGAGACUUAUUUUGAGGGUUUGCGAGUAUUACCUUACUUAUAUUCAUGAUGUUAGUAUAAUGACUCUUUCUUGACACUAUUCCUAUAGUUCAUGAGUUUCCUGAUGUUUUUCCUAUCGAUCUACUUGGUCUUCCUCUAAAGAGUGAUAUAGAGUUUGUUAUUGAUACUGAUCCAGACACCCGACCUAUUUUUAUGGCACCUUAACAUAUAGCCCUACCGAGAUUAAAAAGCUAAAUUUGCAUCUUCAGGAUCUUCUUAGUAAGGUUUUCACUAAACCAAGUGUGUUUUCUUGGGGAGCACAUAUGUUGUUUGUGAAAAAAAGAAUAGUUUCAUGUGUAUAUGUAUUGAUUAUAGGCAGAUUAAUAAAGUGAUAGUGAAGAACUGGUAUCCUAUGCCUCGCAUUGAUGAUUUAUUUGGCCAACUUCAGGAAGCGGUGGUGUUCUCUAAGAUUGAUUUGAGGUCCCGUUACCAUCAAUUGAGGAUUUAUACUGAGGAUAUCCCAAAGACAACCUUUAGAACCCAUUAUGGUCAUUAUGAGUGUCUGCUAAUGUCUUUUGGGUUGCCCAAUAUCUUAGUCGUAUUUAUAGAUUUGAUAAACCGUGUGUUCAGGACUUAUUUGGAUUCUGUUGUGAUUGUGUUUAUUUACGACAUCAUUGUAUACUUGAAGAGUAGGGAGGAGCAUAUGCAACAUUUGAGGAUUGUGUUCCAGACUUAGAGAGAUCAUAUAUCUUUUGCCAAAUUCUCCAAGUGUAAGUUUUGGCUUGAGUCGGUGACAUUUCUUAGGCAUGUAGUGCUAAGGAUGGGAUUAUAGUAGACCCAAAGAAGAUCAAGACUAUUCGUGAUUGGGCUAGGCCUACAUCUCCUUCUGAGGUUCAUAGCUUCAUUGGUUUAGCCAUUUACUAUAGACAGCUCAUUGGAAGAUUUGCUACUAUUGCCAUGCCGAUGACCAGAUUGACUCGGAAAGAGGUUCCCUUCUGAUGGUCCGAGGAGUAUGAGUCAAAAUUUGGAAAGCUCAAGGGAUUUCUUACUUCAUACUUUAUCUUGGCUCUUCUUGUUAAAGUUGAGGAAUUCACCGUGUAUUGUGAUGUUUCUGGUGUUGGUUUGGGUUAUAUAUUGAUGUAGCAGGAUAGAGUUAUUGCUUAUGUGUUGAGACAGUUAAAGGUGUACAACGUAAUAACCCCACUCAUUAUUUAGAGUUGGUGGUGGUGGUUUUUACGUUUAAGAUUUGGAGAUAUUAUCUUUAUGGCAUGCAUUGUGAGAUCUUUAUGAAUUAUCGUAGUCUUUAGCAUCUUAUGACCCAGAGAAAGCUUAAUUCUAGGUAGCGUAAGUUUCUAAUUACAUUGUUUUAUUUUAUUUUAAGAUGGUAAAAAGAAACUAGGAGUAAAGUAGAGUACAAUAAUUUAGCUGUACUAGAACAAGGUUAACCCUUAGAGUUGCAAUAACUAUAGAGCAUCAAGUUGUUAAGUCACACUUUUAAUGUUUAGGAGAGAGUGGUGGAGCUGAGGGUAAGGAUGAACAUGUCUAUUUCCGAAAACUAAUUCGAAUUCAUGUCGGGGAUAUUAACUACAGUAGUUAUCCAUCUUAUUAGGAGACUAGUUGAGAAGUACAUAGAGAAAGAAAGACCUAUACAUUAUGUUGGUGACUUAGAGAAAACAUAUGAUAAAGUCCCGAAGGAGAUAUUUUGGAGAUGUUUGGAGGUUAAAUGUGUCCAUAUGGCAUACAAUAGGGAGAUCAAAGACAUGUAUGAAGGGGUCAAGACUCGAAUAAGAAUAGUGGAAAGACUAAAAACACUUUCUACUUGUGAUGGUUCUACACUAAAGAUCAGUUCUUAGCAUAUUUCUAUUUAACUAGGUCAUAGAUGAAUUGACAUAGAUAGUUCAAGGUGAAUCGCCAUGGUAUAUAUUAUUUGUGGACGACUUAAUGCUGACUGACGAGAUUUGUGGUAAAGUUAACACUAAAUUAGAAGGUUGGAGACAAACCUUAAAGUCUAAAAGGUUUAGGUUGAGUAGGACCAGGACAAAAUAUUUAAAAUGCAAGUUCAGUGACAUAAUGUUGAUUCUGAUAUAGAAGUAAGACUUGGUUCACAUGUCAUUUAGAAGAGAGGAAGCUUCAAGUAUCUUGGACAUAUUAUCCAAGGAAAUAGAGAAAUUGAUAAUGAUGUCACCCAUCAUAUUGGUGCAUGGUAGAUGAAACGAGUCUUGUAUUCGGCGUAUUAUGUGAUAAGAAGGUGCCACCAAAACUUGGACAAGUUUUAUAGGGUAGUGGUUAUAUUAUAUGAGAUAAAGUGUUAGCCAGUCAAGAACUCUUAUGCUUAAAAUAUGAAAGUCGGAGAGAUGAAGAUAUUGCGGUGGAUUUGUGAGCAUACUAGAAGAUAUAAGAUUAAAAAUAAAGAUAUUUGGAACAUAGUAGGACUGGUCUCAGUAAAAGACAAGAUAUGAAAAGCAAGACUGAGUGGUUCGAAAAUGUGAAGGAGAGAUGAGAUGUGCAAAUACCCCAGUCUAGAUGUAUGAACGAUUAAUUAUAUAUGAUUUCAAUAGAGAAAAAGAUGGACCAAAGAAGCAUUGGGGACAUCCAACAAGUGAUUCGGGAUAUAACAUUGCUUCAACUUACUGAGGACAUAAAUUUAGAUAAAGGGUUGUGGAAGGAACAAAUUAGGCUAGCAGACUAGUAGGUAGCAAUAAGUUGUCUUGUUACUCAUUCUUACAAGUAGCUGUAGUAACGCUUCUAUAGUUGCUUUUCCUCGAAUUUCUACUACUGUCAUUUCUACUUUGACUAUUAUUUAUUUAUCGUAGUUAUCAUCCUGUUACUCUCUUUUGUUUUAUUACUAUAUGAUAUUUCUUGUGCUUAUGCAACUUCUUUUUUUUAAACCACUUUGGACUAUUUUUGCUUGAGUCGAAGAUUUAUCUAAAACAAUCUCACUAUCUAUGAGACAAAGGUAAGUCAGUGUAUACUCGUACAUACUCUAUUCUCUUCAUACCCACUAUGUGGGAUUAUAUUGAAUAUGUUGUCGUAUUAUAAAUUUUACUUAGUCAUUGGUAGCUUUUGCUUUUUCUUAAAAAGAACGUUCAAUCAAUUAGUUUAUCAAUAUGCUAGAUAUAUAUAUAUACAUAUAUAUAUAGAGGGAGAGAUAGAUAACCUUAUAUUCUAGUCUAGUCAUUAUUUCAAUUUAUUUUGUCCCCAUACUUUGCUAAUUUUAUUAUUGGUCCAUUCACACAACAAACAGGAAGGGUGUAUUCGUAUGGAGAAAAAUAUUUUCUCAUGACUAAUAUUUUUGUAUUUUCUCAUGUUGCUUUGACUUAAAGUUUUGAAAAAUAUUUUCUCUUGAAAAAUAAGUUCAUUUGAACCAAGAAAAAUGACUUCUUUAAUGAAAGUAGGAAAAAUAAGUUGUAAUAUCUCAUACCACUCAAUUUUUAUCCCUCCCAUCCCUUGGCCCUCACUCCCCCCACCCCUACAUUAGAAGAAAAAAUUUCUUACUAUACCUUCACCCUUCCCCACACCCCCCNNNNNNNNNNNNNNNNNNNUUACUUGCAUUUUUUUUUUUAUUUUGUGGUAGAUAUUAAUAUCUCAUAAAAGGAAAGAGGCAAGAGAAGUAGGCAGCUCUCCGUCAACAUGUCUGCUUUUUUUGUCUGCUUCAUCAGUUGCUUGCUCCGUAAUUUUAUUAUAUCAUUUCUAAUUAAUUAUUAUAAGUCAUUUAUAUAUUAAAAAUUUUAGUAAUAUUUAAUAAAAAUAAAAUAAACAUUUAUGACAUAUCUGCUUCAGCUAUUUUAAUUGUAACUUUAUUAAAUAUCACCCCUUAUUAAUUAUUAUAAAUUAUUUAAGUAUUAAAAAAUUAAUAAUAGUUGAUAAAAAAGGUAAAAUAGAUAUAAAUGAUAAGUUAACUCUUCAUGUUUUAAAUUAACUUGACUUUUUAUAUGAGGUCCACUUAAAAAAAAAAAUUCUAAGUAUUUUUUAUAGUAAUUUUGAUAUAUUAGUUCUAAUUAGUUAUUGUGAGUUAUUAAGAUAUGUCUGUUUCGUUGCUUCAAUCGUGACUUUACUAUAUCACUCAUAAUUAAUUAUUAUGUCAUCUAAGCACUAUGUUUCUUAAUUUGAAAUAAAAGAAAAAAUAAUUAUAAAUCACAAUAAUUUAAAACUUAAAUUAUUUAAAAAGUGUAAUUGACUAUUAAUGCCACAAAAAUUUGAACAAAGAGAACAAUAUAUGUUAUUUGAAAAUUACAUAAAAAGUACUAUAAACUACAAUAGUUAACAGUUUAAAAUAUCUAAAAAAAAAUUUGUUAUAUAUUUUUUAAAAAUGUGUGUAAUAUUAUAAAUUAUAAUAAUUAAAAUAAAUUAAAAAAAUAUUUGUUGGGUAACUAGUAAUAUACAAAAGCGUAAAAAAAACAUAAUGUUUGUUUAAUUUCCUUUUUAUUUGUUUGUUUUCCCCUAUCUUGUCCUUGGCGUUUGUUUAACCCAUAUAACCUCGCGUCUUUUCUGUAUCCUCUUCGUCACUCUGUGUUUCUGGGGUUUGCUGCUGUUGAGAUUUAUAUUUAUACAAAACAUAAAGGGCUUCGAACAUGGUUAACCCCAACUUCAAUCUAUCAAAAUCAAUUGAUCGUUUUGAAUCAAAUCGGGAAAUAAAACAAUGUCUUUGUAUAAAGAAUUCUCUACUAGAUUUUCUGAUUGAAUUGUUUUCUCUUUCUAAGAAUUAUGGGUUUCUGUAGAUUAUGAAAUUAAUGCAAAAUUCUUCGCAUUCUUGAUUCGUUAGGUAUUGUACUGCACCUUAAGCAGGAGGGAUUCAACGUCUACUCGAUAUAUAAAAUAUAAUUUUGACAAGGCCCCUCAGCCUAUCAGUACCUAGCUCCGAUAGGAGUGGGGAUGGGGGUGGGGUAGGGUGAUGGAACCCUUUCCCAUUUAGCAUUACAUUCAGUUGCUGCUGUGGUGCGUGCCUAGGAGAGUACGUAGCAAUGAAUUCUAUCUGUAGGGUUUUUGAAUUUAUGGAAUCUUAUAUAUUUACUCGUGUUAUCAACUACCUUUAAUGGAUAAGGAAGAAGGUUUAUGUGGGUUGAUAGCCAGAGUAGAAAUAGGCAUAAUUCCUGAAUUCUCUAACUCUACACAUUGAAUUCAUCCUCCCAUGCACUCCUGAGAAUACACUCUGUCAACCUAUCUUAUCUCAUCCUCUAUCGGGGUGGCACUGGCAAUGUGAACGUUAUUUCAAAUAAUCACAUGGUAGAGCUCAAUGUGCUUCCUAUUUGUGUAUAGAAAAUCAUAUGGCAUUUUUGCUUGUUUUAGGGAGUUUGAAAGAAUGGCUUUGUCCAUAUUUUUAGUAUAACAUAAGUUGACAAUUAUUGAUGUGAAUUGAAUUUGUCAGGUACGGUUACAGCCAGAACCAUUUCUCAAUGAAGCGAACUACUGGGCAUGGUUCCGUUUGGGUUACUCUCAAACACUGUGAGUUUGCCCCUUCAUUGGUUUUUCUGUAUUUUGUGCUCUGCAUUCUCUUCAUGAUUGAUUCACAGUAGAGCUGUAUAUUGAAACACUGAUUGAGCAAUCUUGUCCUUUGUAUCUGCAGCUUCUGAUAAAUCUAAAGCCCAACGGAAUAAGAUGAAGACAGCUGGGAAAAAUAUUGAAUUUAAGUGCCUCAUCCGAGCAACUGGUGGUAAAAAGAAUAUUUCCAUAAUGGUAAUCACAGUAGCAAGUUCCUUUCUUAUUCUUUUCCAUUGCUCAGUCUUGUUGGUUGGAUUGUGGUUAUGCCUUCUUUGCAAGUCUUGCCAUUUUCCCCUUUCCUUUUGCUUUGUUGGGUUCUAUGUUCUCUGGUAGGAACAUUUAAGAGUGUUAGUUUGUUGUAUGAAUUAACUCUUGGCAACAACAAACCCAACAACAACAACAAACCCAGUGUAUUCCCACUUUGUGGGGUCUGGGGGGGGUAAGAUGUACGCAGUCCAUACCUCUACCUCUGAUGAAGUAGAAAGGCUGUUUCCGAAAGACCCCCGGCUCAAGUUACGAGAUAUCAAACAAACACAUAGUACAGCACAGAAGCAGAUGACAUAACAUAGAUACUGCAGCCAUAAGGAAUAUAAAACAGAGUAAAGCAGGACUGCAGGAAUAUAAAGCAGAGGAAAGCACACAGAUUCGUAACAAACAUAGAACACGGAACACGGAACAGAACAUUGAAAUACGGAAUCAUACCAGGGAUACACCCCCACCAAUUACCUCCCUACAUUAGCGACCCGAACAGGCCCUAAUCCUCUGCCGUAAUUCGCGUCUUCCAGACCUUCCUAUCUAGGGUCAUGUCCUCGGUAAGCUGUAACUGUUCCAUGUCCCGCCUAAUCACC